This 46709-nucleotide long non-coding RNA is filed under the name Zea mays. Its description in RNAcentral is "long non-coding RNA (ZMAY_LNC000416)". Lineage: Eukaryota; Viridiplantae; Streptophyta; Magnoliopsida; Poales; Poaceae. The record is from RNAcentral.
GGUAAACCUGUAGAUCAAAAAUUAUAUAGAUCAAUGAUAGGAUCACUGCUUUACUUAUGUGCAUCUAGACCAGAUAUAAUGUUGAGUGUUUGCAUGUGUGCACGUUUUCAAGCAAACCCUAAAGAUUGCCAUCUUGUAGCCGUUAAGAGAAUUCUAAGAUACUUAGUCCACACCCAAAACCUAGGAUUAUGGUAUCCCAAAGGCUCCCUUUUCGAUUUGCUUGGCUACUCUGACUCAGAUUAUGCCGGUUGCAAAGUAGAUCGAAAAAGCACUACUGGGACUUGCCAAUUCCUUGGGUGGUCCUUAGUGUCAUGGAGUUCCAAGAAACAAAAUUGUGUUGCACUUUCCACUGCAGAAGCUGAGUACAUAGCAGCUGGGGCAUGUUGUGCACAGUUGUUAUGGAUGAAGCAAACUGAAAGGGAAUUCGGCUUACACCUAGUUCCUAAAUAAUUUUGGUGGUUGAAUUGCCCAACACAAAUAAUUGGACUAACUAGUUUGCCCAAGUGUAUAGAUUAUACAGGUGUAAAAGGUUCACACUCAGCCAAUAAAAAGACCAAGUUUUGGAUUCAACAAAGGAGCAAAGGGGCAACCGAAGGCACCCCUGGUCUGGCGCACCGGACUGUCCGGUGUACCACCGGACAUGUCCGGUGCACCAGGGGGACUCAGACUCAAACUCGCCACCUUCGGGAAUUUCCAGAGGCACUCGCGCUAUAAUUCACCGGACUGUCCGGUGUACACCGGACAGUGUCCGGUGCGCCAUGGAGAAGCGGCCUCAGGAACUCGCCAGCUUCGGGAAACUCCAACGGCUAGUCCGCUAAAAUUCACCGGACUGUCCGGUGUGCACCGGACUGUCCGGUGCGACUCCAGUGCAACGGCUAUCUCCGCGCCAACGGCUCUCUGCCGCGCAUUUAAUGCGCGCUCUGCGCGCGCAGAAGUCAGGCGUGCCCAUACUGGCACACCGGACAGCAAACAGUACCUGUCCGGUGUGCACCGGACACCCAGGCGGGCCCACAAGUCAGAAGCUCCAACGGUCAGAAUCCAACGGCAGUGAUGACGUGGCAGGGGGCACCGGACUGUCCGGUGCGCCAUCGAGCAGACAGCCUCCCAACGGCCACUUUUGGUGGUUGGGGCUAUAAAUACCCCAACCACCCCACCAUUCAUUGCAUCCAAGUUUUCCACUUCUCAACCACUUACAAGAGCUAGGCAUUCAAUUCUAAGACACACCCAAAGUGAUCAAAUCCUCUCCAAUUCAACACAAAGCCCUAGUGACUAGUGAGAGUGAUUUGCCGUGUUCAUUUGAGCUCUUGCGCUUGGAUUGCUUUCUCUCUUUCAUUCUUUCUUGUGAUCAAUACUCACUUGUAACCAAGGCAAGAGACACCAAUUGUGUGGUGGUCCUUGCGGGGAGGUUUUUCUCCCAGUUGAUUUGAGAAGAGAAAGCUCACUCGGUCCGAGGGACCGUUUGAGAGAGGGAAGGGUUGAAAGAGACCCGGCCUUUGUGGCCUCCUCAACGGGGAGUAGGUUUGAGAGAACCGAACCUCGGUAAAACAAAUCCGCGUGUCUCACCUCUUUAUUCGCUUGCGAUUUGUUUUGCACCCUCUCUCGCGGACUCAAUUAUAUUUCUAACGCUAACCCGGCUUGUAGUUGUGAUUAUUUUUGAGAAUUUCAGUUUCGCCCUAUUCACCCCCCCCCUCUAGGCGACUUUCAAUUGGUAUCAGAGCCCGGUGCUUCAUUAGAGCCUAACCGCUCGAAGUGAUGUCGGGAGAUCACGCCAAGAAGGAGAUAGAGACCGGCGAAAAGCCCACUACAAGCCACGGGAGCACUUCAUCGGAAGAGUCCCGCACCAAGAGGAAGGAGAAGAAGAAGAUCUCCUCCAACAAAGGGAAGGAGAAGAAAUCUUCUUCUCACCACAAAGAGAAGAAGGAAAAAUCUUCUUCCCACAAGCCGCGUCGGAGUGGGGACAAGCACAAGAGGAUGAGGAAAGUGGUCUACUACGAGACCGACACUUCAUCAACAUUGACCUCCGACUCCGAUGCGCCCUCCGUCACUUCUAAGCGCCAAGAGCGCAAGAAGUAUAGUAAGAUCCCCCUACGCUACCCUCGCAUUUCCAAACAUACACCUUUACUUUCCGUCCCAUUAGGCAAACCACCAACUUUUGAUGGUGAAGAUUACGCUAGGUGGAGCGAUUUAAUGCGAUUUCAUCUAACCUCGCUCCACAAAGGUAUAUGGGAUGUUGUUGAGUUUGGUGCACAGGUACCGUCGGUAGGGGAUGAGAACUAUGAUGAGGAUGAGGUGGCCCAAAUCGAGCACUUCAACUCUCAAGCAACAACAAUACUCCUCGCCUCUCUAAGUAGAGAGGAGUAUAACAAAGUACAAGGGUUGAAGAGCGCCAAGGAGAUUUGGGAUGUGCUCAAAACCGCGCACGAGGGAGACGAGCUCACUAAGAUCACCAAGCGGGAAACGAUCGAGGGGGAGCUCGGUCGGUUCCGGCUUCGCAAAGGGGAGGAGCCACAACACAUGUACAACCGGCUCAAGACCUUGGUGAAUCAAGUGCGCAACCUCGGGAGCGUAAAGUGGGAUGACCACGAGAUGGUUAAGGUUAUUCUAAGAUCUCUUAUUUUCCUUAAUCCUACUCAAGUUCAAUUGAUCCGUGGUAAUCCUAGAUAUACUAAAAUGACCCCCGAGGAAGUUAUCGGGAAUUUUGUGAGUUUUGAGUGCAUGAUCGAAGGCUCGAGGAAGAUCAACGAGCUUGAUGAUGCCACCACAUCCAAAGCUCAACCCGUUGCAUUCAAGGCAACGGAGGAGAAGAAGGAGGAGUCUACACCAAGUCGACAACCAAUAGACGCCUCCAAGCUCGACAAUGAGGAAAUGGCGCUCGUCAUCAAGAGCUUCCGCCAAAUCCUCAAGCAAAGGAGGGGGAAGGAUUACAAGUCCCGCUCCAAGAAGGUUUGCUACAAGUGUGGUAAGCCCGGUUAUUUUAUUGCUAAAUGUCCCAUAUCUAGUGACAGUGACCGAGGUGACGACAAGAAGGGGAGGCGAAAGGAGAAGAAGAGGUACUACAAGAAGAAGGGCGGUGAUGCCCAUGUUUGUCGGGAGUGGGACUUCGACGAAAGCUCAAGUGACUCCUCCGACGACGAGGACGCCGCCAACAUCGUCGUUACCAAGGGACUCCUCUUCCCCAACAUCGGCCACAAGUGCCUCAUGGCAAAGGAUGGCAAAAAGAAGAAGGUUAAAUCCAACUCCUCCACUAAAUAUGAGUCUUCCAGUGAUGAUAAUGCUAGUGAUGAGGAAGAUAAUUUGCGCACUCUUUUUGCCAACCUUAACAUGGAACAAAAGGAGAAAAUAAAUGAACUAAUUAGUGCCAUCCAUGAGAAGGAUGAUCUCUUGGACUCCCAAGAGGACUUCCUAAUCAAGGAAAAUAAAAAACAUGUUAAGGUUAAAAAUGCUUACGCUCUACAAGUUGAAAAAUGUGAAAAAUUGUCUAGUGAGCUAAGCACUUGCCGUGAGAUGAUUGACAACCUUAGAAAUGAAAAUGCUAGUUUAAAUGCUAAGGUUGAUUCUCAUGUUUGUAAUGUUUCAAUUCCCAAUCCUAGAGAUAAUAAUGAUGAUUUGCUUGCUAAGAUUGAAGAAUUAAACAUUUCUCUUGCUAGCCUUAGAUUAGAGAAUGAAAAUUUGAUUGCUAAGGCUAAAGAUUUUGAUGUUUGCAAAGUUACAAUUGCCGAUCUUAGAGAUAAAAAUGAUAUACUUCGUGCUAAGAUUGUUGAACUUAAUUCUUGCAAACCAUCUACAUCUACCAUUGAGCAUGUCACUAUUUGUACUAGAUGUAGAAAUGUUGAUAUUGAUGCUAUUCAUGAUCAUAUGGCUUUAAUUAAACAACAAAAUGAUCAUAUAGCAAAAUUAGAUGCUAAAAUUGCCGAGCAUAACUUAGAGAAUGAAAAAUUUAAAUUUGCUAGAAGUAUGCUCUAUAAUGGGAGACGCCCGGGCAUCAAGGAUGGCAUUGGCUUCCAAAGGGGAGACAAUGUCAAACUUAAUGCCCCCCCUAAGAACUUGUCUAACUUUGUUAAGGGCAAGGCUCCCAUGCCUCAAGAUAACGAGGGUUACAUUUUAUACCCUGCCGGUUAUCCUGAGAGCAAGAUUAGGAAAAUUCAUUCUAGGAAGUCUCACUCUGACCCUAAUCAUGCUUUUAUGUAUAAGGGUGAGACAUCUAGCUCUAGGCAACCAACCCGUGCUAAGUUGCCUAGAAAGAAAACUCCAAAUGCAUCAAAUGAACAUAGCACUUCAUUUAAAACUUUUGAUGCAUCCUAUGUUUUGACUAAUAAAUCCGGCAAGGUCGUUGCCAAGUUUGUUGGGGGCAAACACAAGGGCUCUAAGACUUGUGUUUGGGUACCCAAAGUUCUUGUGUCUAAUGCCAAAGGACCCAAAACCGUUUGGGUACCUAAAGUCAAGAACUAAAAUUGUUUUGUAGGUUUAUGCAUCCGGGGGCUCAAGUUGGAUACUCGACAGCGGGUGCACAAACCACAUGACAGGGGAGAAGAAGAUGUUCUCCUCAUAUGAGAAAAACCAAGAUCCCCAAAGAGCGAUUACAUUCGGGGAUGGAAAUCAAGGUUUGGUCAAAGGUUUGGGUAAAAUUGCUAUUUCACCUGACCAUUCCAUUUCCAAUGUUUUUCUUGUUGAUUCAUUAGAUUACAAUUUGCUUUCCGUUUCUCAAUUAUGUCAAAUGGGCUACAACUAUCUAUUCACUGAUGUAGGUGUUACUGUCUUUAGAAGAAGUGAUGAUUCAAUAGCAUUUAAGGGAGUGUUAGAGGGUCAGCUAUACUUGGUAGAUUUUGAUAGAGCUGAACUCGACACUUGCUUGGUUGCUAAGACUAACUUGGGUUGGCUCUGGCACCGCCGACUAGCCCAUGUUGGAAUGAAGAAUCUUCAUAAGCUUCUAAAGGGGGAACACAUUUUAGGACUAACCAAUGUUCAUUUUGAGAAAGACAGGAUUUGUAGCGCCUGCCAAGCCGGGAAGCAAGUUGGUACCCAUCAUCCACACAAAAACAUCAUGACGACCGACAGGCCACUGGAGCUCCUACACAUGGACCUAUUCGGCCCGAUUGCUUACAUAAGCAUCGGCGGGAGUAAGUACUGUCUAUUUAUUGUGGAUGAUUAUUCUCGCUUCACUUGGGUGUUCUUUUUGCAGGAAAAAUCUCAUACCCAAGAAACCUUAAAGGGAUUCUUGAGACGGGCUCAAAAUGAGUUCGGCUUAAGAAUCAAGAAAAUUAUAAGCGACAAUGGGACGGAGUUCAAGAACUCUCAAAUUGAAGGCUUCCUUGAGGAGGAGGGAAUCAAGCAUGAGUUCUCUUCUCCCUACACCCCUCAACAAAAUGGUGUAGUGGAGAGGAAGAAUCGAACUCUUUUGGACAUGGCAAGGACCAUGCUUGAUGAGUACAAGACUUCGGAUCGGUUUUGGGCCGAGGCGGUCAACACCGCUUGCUACGCCAUCAACCGGUUAUAUCUUCACCGAAUCCUCAAGAAGACAUCCUAUGAACUCCUAACCGGUAAAAAGCCCAAUAUUUCUUAUUUUAGAGUCUUUGGUAGCAAAUGUUUUAUUCUGGUUAAAAGAGGUAGAAAAUCUAAAUUUGCUCCUAAGACUGUAGAAGGUUUUUUACUUGGUUAUGACUCAAACACAAGGGCAUAUAGAGUCUUUAACAAGUCCACUGGACUAGUUGAAGUCUCAUGUGACGUUGUGUUUGAUGAGACUAACGGCUCUCAAGUAGAGCAAGUUGAUCUUGAUGAGAUAGGUGAAGAACAGGCUCCAUGCAUAGCUCUAAGGAACAUGUCUAUUGGAGAUGUGUGUCCUAAGGAAUCCGAAGAGCCUCCACAUGCACAAGAUCAACCAUCAUCCUCCACUCAAGCAUCUCCACCAACUCAAAAUGAGGAUGAAGCUCAAGUUGAUGAAGUAGAAGAUCAAGCAAAUGAGCCACCUCAAGAUGACGGCAAUGAUCAAGGGGGAGAUGCAAAUGAUCAAGACAAGGAGGAUGAAGAGCAAAGGCCGCCACACCCAAGAGUCCACCAAGCAAUCCAACGAGAUCACCCUGUCGACACCAUUCUCGACGACAUUCAUAAGGGGGUAACCACUCGAUCUCGUGUUGCACAUUUUUGUGAACAUUACUCGUUUGUUUCCUCUAUUGAGCCACACAGGGUGGAGGAAGCACUACAAGAUUCGGAUUGGGUGGUGGCGAUGCAAGAGGAGCUCAACAAUUUCACAAGGAACGAGGUAUGGCACUUAGUUCCACGUCCUAACCAAAAUGUUGUAGGAACCAAAUGGGUCUUCCGCAACAAGCAAGAUGAGCAUGGUGUGGUGACAAGGAACAAAGCUCGACUUGUGGCCAAAGGAUACUCCCAAGUCGAAGGUUUGGAUUUCGGUGAAACCUAUGCACCCGUAGCUAGGCUUGAGUCAAUUCGCAUAUUAUUAGCCUAUGCUACUUACCAUGGCUUUAAGCUUUAUCAAAUGGACGUGAAAAGUGCUUUCCUCAAUGGACCAAUCAAGGAAGAGGUCUAUGUUGAGCAACCUCCCGGCUUUGAAGAUAGUAAGUACCCUAACCAUGUCUAUAAGCUCUCUAAGGCGCUUUAUGGGCUCAAGCAAGCCCCAAGAGCAUGGUAUGAAUGCCUUAGAGAUUUCCUUAUCGCUAAUGGCUUCAAAGUCGGCAAGGCGGAUCCUACUCUAUUCACUAAAACUCUUGACAAUGAUUUGUUUGUAUGCCAAAUUUAUGUUGAUGAUAUCAUAUUUGGGUCUACUAACGAAUCUACUUGUGAGGAAUUUAGUAGGAUCAUGACACAGAAAUUCGAGAUGUCGAUGAUGGGGGAGUUGAAGUAUUUCUUGGGAUUUCAAGUGAAGCAACUCCAAGAGGGCACCUUCCUUAGCCAAACGAAGUAUACUCAAGAUAUUCUAAGCAAGUUUGGGAUGAAGGAUGCCAAGCCCAUCAAGACACCCAUGGGAACCAAUGGGCAUCUCGACCUCGACACGGGAGGUAAGUCCGUGGAUCAAAAGGUAUACCGGUCGAUGAUUGGUUCAUUGCUUUAUUUAUGUGCGUCUCGACCGGACAUUAUGCUUUCCGUUUGCAUGUGUGCAAGAUUCCAAUCCGACCCUAAGGAAUCCCACCUUACGGCCGUAAAACGAAUCUUGAGAUAUUUGGCUUAUACUCCUAAAUUUGGGCUUUGGUACCCUCAGGGAUCCACUUUUGAUUUAAUUGGUUAUUCGGAUGCUGAUUGGGCGGGGUGUAAGAUUAAUAGGAAGAGCACAUCGGGGACUUGCCAGUUCUUGGGAAGAUCCUUGGUGUCUUGGGCUUCAAAGAAGCAAAAUUCGGUCGCUCUUUCCACCGCCGAAGCCGAGUACAUUGCCGCAGGUCAUUGUUGCGCGCAACUACUUUGGAUGAGGCAAACCCUGCGGGACUACGGUUACAAAUUAACCAAAGUCCCUUUGCUAUGUGAUAAUGAGAGUGCAAUCAAAAUGGCCGACAAUCCUGUCGAGCAUAGCCGCACUAAACACAUAGCCAUCCGGUAUCAUUUUCUUAGGGAUCACCAACAAAAGGGGGAUAUUGAGAUUUCUUACAUCAACACUAAAGAUCAAUUAGCCGAUAUAUUUACCAAGCCUCUUGAUGAACAAACUUUUACCAAACUUAGGCAUGAGCUCAAUAUUCUUGAUUCACGCAACUUCUUUUGCUAGAUUGCACACAUAGCUCAUUUAUAUACUUUUGAUCAUAUCUCUUUCAUAUAUGCUAUGACUAAUGUGUUUUCAAGUGUAUUUCAAACCAAGUCAUAGGUAUAUUGAAAGGGAAUUGGAGUCUUCGGCGAAGACAAGGCUUCCACUCCACUCUACUACUCAUCCUUCGCCAUCGCUCCAAGAAAAGGACCUUGUCUUUGGGGGAGAGAGUAAAAGCCCAAAGCAAAAGGACCGGACUUCGUCUUUGGUAUAAUCUUAACUCAUUUACUUAUGACCAAAGGGGAAGAUAGUACUUAAUGGGCUCUAAUGAUUCCGUUUUUGGCGAUUCAUGCCAAAGGGGGAGAAAGUAUGAGCCCAAAGCAAAAGGACCGCACCACCACCAAUUUCAAAAAACUUAGUGCUUUCCAAGAGUAUUUAUCAAUUGGUAUCCUAUUUGUUCAAAAGGAGAAGAAAAUUAGUUUUUCAAAAAUGUAUAUCAAAACCCUCUUGAACACUAAGAGGUGGAUCUCCUUUAGGGGGAGUUUUGUUAAGUCAAAGGAAAAGCAUUUGAAACAGGGGGAGAAAAUUUCAAAUCUUGAAAAUGCUUUGCAAAAUCUUACUCAUUUACCCUUGACUAUUUGCAAAAGAACUUUGAAAAAGAUUUACAAAAGAAUUUGCAAAACAUGUGGUGCAAGCGUGGUCCAAAAUGUUAUAUAAGAAAGAAACAAUCCAUGCAUAUCUAGUAAGUAUUUAUAUUGGCUCAAUUCCAAGCGACCUUUGCACUUACAUUGUACAAACUAGUUCAAUUAUGCAUCUCUAUACUUGCUUUGGUUUGUGUUGGCAUCAAUCACCAAAAAGGGGGAGAUUGAAAGGGAAUUAGGCUUACACCUAGUUCCUAAAUAAUUUUGGUGGUUGAAUUGCCCAACACAAAUAAUUGGACUAACUAGUUUGCCCAAGUGUAUAGAUUAUACAGGUGUAAAAGGUUCACACUCAGCCAAUAAAAAGACCAAGUUUUGGAUUCAACAAAGGAGCAAAGGGGCAACCGAAGGCACCCCUGGUCUGGCGCACCGGACUGUCCGGUGUACCACCGGACAUGUCCGGUGCACCAGGGGGACUCAGACUCAAACUCGCCACCUUCGGGAAUUUCCAGAGGCACUCGCGCUAUAAUUCACCGGACUGUCCGGUGUACACCGGACAGUGUCCGGUGCGCCAUGGAGAAGCGGCCUCAGGAACUCGCCAGCUUCGGGAAACUCCAACGGCUAGUCCGCUAAAAUUCACCGGACUGUCCGGUGUGCACCGGACUGUCCGGUGCGACUCCAGUGCAACGGCUAUCUCCGCGCCAACGGCUCUCUGCCGCGCAUUUAAUGCGCGCUCUGCGCGCGCAGAAGUCAGGCGCGCCCAUACUGGCACACCGGAUAGCAAACAGUACCUGUCCGGUGUGCACCGGACACCCAGGCGGGCCCACAAGUCAGAAGCUCCAACGGUCAGAAUCCAACGGCAGUGAUGACGUGGCAGGGGGCACCGGACUGUCCGGUGCGCCAUCGAGCAGACAGCCUCCCAACGGCCACUUUUGGUGGUUGGGGCUAUAAAUACCCCAACCACCCCACCAUUCAUUGCAUCCAAGUUUUCCACUUCUCAACCACUUACAAGAGCUAGGCAUUCAAUUCUAAGACACACCCAAAGUGAUCAAAUCCUCUCCAAUUCAACACAAAGCCCUAGUGACUAGUGAGAGUGAUUUGCCGUGUUCAUUUGAGCUCUUGCGCUUGGAUUGCUUUCUCUCUUUCAUUCUUUCUUGUGAUCAAUACUCACUUGUAACCAAGGCAAGAGACACCAAUUGUGUGGUGGUCCUUGCGGGGAGGUUUUUCUCCCGGUUGAUUUGAGAAGAGAAAGCUCACUCGGUCCGAGGGACCGUUUGAGAGAGGGAAGGGUUGAAAGAGACCCGGCCUUUGUGGCCUCCUCAACGGGGAGUAGGUUUGAGAGAACCGAACCUCGGUAAAACAAAUCCGCGUGUCUCACCUCUUUAUUCGCUUGCGAUUUGUUUUGCACCCUCUCUCGCGGACUCAAUUAUAUUUCUAACGCUAACCCGGCUUGUAGUUGUGAUUAUUUUUGAGAAUUUCAGUUUCGCCCUAUUCACCCCCCCUCUAGGCGACUUUCACAAACCCUUAGAGAUUUUGGUUGUGAGUUUAACAAAAUUCCACUUUUGUGUGACAAUGAAAGUGCCAUAAAACUUGGAAACAAUCCGGUGCAACACUCUAGAACUAACAUAUUGACAUCAGACACCAUUUCUUGAGAGACCACGAAGCCAAAGGAGAUAUCGAAUUGUUUCAUGUGAGCACCGAAAAUCAACUAGCCGAUAUCUUCACAAAACCCCUUGAUGAGACUAGGUUUUGUUUUCUUAGGAGUGAGCUAAAUAUCUUGGAUUCUCGAAACGUGUCUUAAUAACUAAAAUUUUGAUCAAAUUUGAUGGAUGUAAAUUGAUUGUUUGAGCAAUAUGAAAUGAGAAAUAACAUUUUUAUCAUUAAAAUCACUCAUGUCAUAUUUGCUAAGUGCUAUUAUAGCCCUUCUCGGCAAUAUCUGGAAACUGGUUGAGUAAACCGGCUGAGUAGACCACUCAACCGGUUCUCCCCUGGUGGAAACCGGUUGAACCAGUAUAAAAACCGGUUGAAUCGGUUUUGACCUCCUCCGCCUGGACCGGUAUAAAAACCGGUUGAACCGGUUUUGACCUCCUCCGCAUCUGCGCCGUCAGACUGUGCCGCAGUCUGCGCUGUCAGUUUUGCAGUCUGCGCUGUCAGACUGCCAGAAAUUUCGCGCAAUCAAUACCUUUUUGUGCGCGCUUUUACUGCGCAGUUUGACCAGAAACCGGUUGAACCGGUUUUAGAACCGGUUGAACCGGUUUUCUGUGUUCUGACCGGCCGACUCCCCCCUUAUUUCUCUCCAUCUCUCCUCUUCUCUUCUUCUCAGUUUCACUUUCCAGCCGCCGCCACCCACUCUUCUUUCUCUCUCUCCUUCACACCUUCUCCACUCCAAAAACUCACUUGUGCCCUCUCAUCUUUGGAAGAUUUGUUGGAGAUCCGUUCAUCCCGACGUUCUCCAUCAUCUCCCUCAAUCUUGUUGGGAUUUCUUGACUAAAUCUCCGGAUCGAGGUAUUGCCCUAUUUCAUUUCUUUUUACUUAAUCCUACGCGUUCUUGAUUAUCUAAUGUAUCAUUUGUUGGGUACAUUUUAGUUUAAGUGCUUGCAACACUUAGAUUAUCUUCAUUUGUCACGAACAUUGUUAGAGUUUAGCGAUUUGAUAUUGUUCGUUGUAGUUGAACCGCUCAUAUGAACGGUUGAAGUGCAUGCUCAAUAUCUUAUGCGUCUCUACUCAAACGUGUUUGAUCCUUGCUCAUCAUAGGUUCAAUUUUUUUUUCUUAGAAUGGUGUGUCGGAGGAACCCGUCCAUGGUUGAAUCCGACUCCUCUGAUGACCAAGAAAUACAUGGAGAUACUCCCCCACGCUCUAGAUCCAAGCGUGGGCGAGGAAGCGGAAACGUCAUGCAAGGUGCUGAGGCCUCCGGGUCUCAAGGAGCUCGCAGUCGGACAACCCGGAAUCCUUCCUGUCGGUCCCGACCAGCGACAAAUCCGCAGGCAUGGGAGGCUACGAGUGAUGAUGAAGGCGGGAAGGAUGAUGAAAUUGAUCUUCCCCUGGCCCACGCCCCUGUGAUUCGUGGGUUGGUCCUCCACUGGGCGGAGGCUCGGCGUGCUGGCAAUGAGCCAGUAACUGAUUUCACUGCCAGUGGAGGUUCUGCUCUCCUUCAGGAUCUCCGUUUCCAGAAUCCUGCAUUGCGCAUUCGCGAUGCCAGGAUUGAUGGAAACCGCUUUUGGACGCUUCAUCAUGUGGAUUUUUAUAAUUCCGUGAUCCUCCCCAAGAAGCAUCAACCUAUUCUGCUUCAACGCUAUAUCAACUGGGAAGGUUGUGAGGCCAUUGGGGACCCAGAGAUGACACAGGCAUUGAGGGCCUGUGAAAGGAAAAAGAUGAAGAGUAUCAUGACAUUCCAAUAUGAUUGGAAUGAUGAAGUUAUUGCCCAAUUCUACUCAACUUUGUGGAUCAAGCCAGCUGACGAGGAGAGUCCAUACAACUAUCCUUAUCUGAACUUCUACAUUGAAGGCAGUUGGUAUAAGGUGAGCUACCGUCGGUUUGCUCACAUUCUUGGUUUUACUAACAAUGAUAUCUCUGGCGACAAGAUCAAGAUACAUGAUUUCCACCAGUCUACUAGAGAUGAAGCCAAAGAUCUUCAUCUCUCUGAGUCUGGGAAGUAUUGGGAGUCUACAAACAUGCAUAAGUAUUAUCGAUACAUCAACUCCCUCUGCAGGAUGACCCUCAUUCCAAAAGGGGGAAAUCAGAUGAACAUUCUUGGAGAGAGCAAGGUCUUGCUCUCAUUCAUGAAACCCAGCAGCUCAGAGAGUAUAAAUGUCUUUGAUAUGAUUUGGCAGGAAAUCAUUCAUGCUGCAUGCUUUCCAUUGAAGGGAUGUCUUCAUGCUCCUUUUAUCAUGAAGAUGAUUGAGGUUGUGACCCAGUUUAAAUUUGAUAAAGGUACAAGACAUCAAUCAUAUACCCCUUUCUGGAUUGAUCCCAACAAUCCAGCAGGGCGCCUAAGGAAAGCCCCUUCCAGCUCUCGUGCUCAUACAUCUGCGGGUCCGUCUGCUGGUCCUGCUGCUGCUGCCGGUGCCUCGCGUCCCUCCCCUGGCCGCGGAUCUCCCAUGCCACGUGGUCGUGGUCGUGGUCGAGGUCGUGGCCGAGGGAUGGGUGCCCGCUUGGCCCAUGGGUUUGCGGCAUUUUUCUCCAUGUGCCGGAACAUUACUGCGGAUGUCCAUGAGGUGGCAAGACGUCAGCGGGAGACUGACGACAACCUUCGUCGUCAAGCUUCCUCUUUGGGUACUCCCUUCGUCCCCCGCUCGCCUGACGUGCCUCUCCAUCCUCCUCCUCCAGAGAUCAACGAGUGGUACCAGCAGGUAUACAGGGUGCCUUUUAUGACAGCAGACGACGUCGAAGAAGAAGAAGAAGCUUAUUUUGAUGAUCGUGAGCAGUUUGUCCCACCUCCGUAUCACGGGGAUCCGGGCCAAUCAUCCUCUCACCCUCCGCCCCAGGAUCCGUCUGGCAAUGCUCCUCCCCCGGAUCAGUCUGGGGAAGAACACUUUGCCUCUCACCUAGCGCACCACCUCUUUGCUCCUCAUCAGCCUCCUCCCAACUGGUGACCUUUGGAUUGGCGUCUCUCUCCCUCUUUUUGGUUCUUGUUGCCAAAAAGGGGGAGAAGGUUUAUUAGACUGGCAGUACCUUUUAUUUUUGUAAUGAACAAUCGGUUUGUAAUAACUAUUUGGUCUAUCGUAUGAUGCAUGCAUGGCUCUAAAGCCAUAAACAUUUUUAUGAUGUGAUGAGAUGAGUUAUCAUUAUUGUAAUAGCAGUAGAAUUUUUUAUAUCAUAUGCUAUGCAAUAAUGAGCUUGAAUGUGCAAUUUUUACUCUUUCUAUCUAAUUAUGUUUCAUACCUCAUUGUUUUUGUGUAUGGCGUUGAUUGUUCUCUCUCUAAAUAUGUUGCAAAUUGAUAUAUCAAGUCAAUGUUAAUAUCGCAAAACUCAUGCACAUAUUUAGGGGAGCUACACAUACACAAAGGAUUUUAUCUCGCAAGUACUUGUAACUUUUAAUUCUUAUUCUACUCCAGUUUGUUUUGGCAUCAAUCACCAAAAAGGGGGAGAUUGUAAGUGCAAUCAACCCUAAUUAAAGGUUUUGGUGAUUAAUGACAAAACAAACUGAGAUUCUAACAAGUUUGCUCCUAGCAUGUACAUAGUAAUUCUACAGACAGGAGAAGCACAGAUCCUACGAGCAUAAAAGUAGAAAGCACAGCGGAUUUAAAGUUCCACAUCAAAUGGCGUGCUCCAAGUGCUUAGAAACAACGGCGGUGCUAAUUUUUAUAAUUCUUGUGUCAUAGGAAUCGCCGUGCAAUUAAGAGGGAUCCGCGACGGUUAAGUAAGUUGUGCAAUGAGACAAGUUCAAAAUCCUUUGAAAACAUCUUGGAGAACAUUUUUCCAGAUCAUGAAUGCCCUUGAGAAAAACAAAUUUUACUUGCCACAAAGACUCCACUUUUGUUCUCUUCAAAAUACUCAAAAUUUGGUUUCAGCCCUGAAAACCGGUUCAGCCAGUCCUAAAACCGGUUCAACCGGUUUUGGGACUGUUCCCCUGCCAUCUCUGCUCUGACCUGUCUGACAGUCAGAGCUGUCAGAAAAGUCGCUGCAGAUAUUUUUUGAAAACCGGUUCAGCCGAAAUUUUUCCUUACUCAGCCGGUUUUGAAACCGGUCGAGUCUCCGGCUGAGUAGCUCAGUGGACCGGGAUCCCCCUGGUAGAAACCGGUUCAACCGGUCUGAAAACCGGUUCAACCGGUUUUUACUUCUUUUCUCCCAAUGGCUGCCAGCUUUUGGGGGCUCCUUUAUAUACCCCCUCACACUCUCUCUCUCGUUUACUCCUGCCUCUCCCACGAAUUCUUGGCUGACCAACCUUCAAACAAGCGCAUUCAUUUCACCUUUCACACCCGCAAUCGCAUCUCCUUCAAUCAUUUGAAGGACCCUUGGUGUGAGGUGAACUCGAUCGAACACGCUGUCAAUUUCAUCUCGAUUCUCCCAUUCUCUUUGUUCUUGAGCUCGUUGCAAACUUAACCUUGUGCGGAUUUGUUACUCUUGGAACCUCGUGUUCCUUGACGGUUAGAGGUUGCUUGGGAGUCUCCAAAUUUGUGGACGACCCCAAGAAGUUUGUAUCACCCGCUCUUUGAGCUGAUUUGAGAAGAGAUUGCCUUGACCUUUGUGGUCGGCUUGUGGAGGAUUAGGGUUGGAAAAGACCCGGCUCUUUGUGGGUUCCUCAACGAGGAGUAGGACACCUUUGUGGUGGUUGCCGAACCUCGGGUUAUAUCGCGUGUUCUUGUGUGUUCUUGUUAAGCGCUUUAUAUUCGGUGGUUGGUUCAUAUUAUUCAUUCGAGUAGAUUUUGUGUAGGGCAAGUCUUUAGCUAUAUUUUUCACUACUUCGUAUUUGUUCAAUAGAUUAUCUAAUUUAAGUUGAGCAGGUUCAAACUUGUUCAGUUGUAAUUAAAAUCGACUGAACCGGUUUGCACCAGUGCAACUUUAAUUUAACCUAUCUCGAAGUUUUUAGUGAAAAUUUUCAGGUGUAGCCUAUUCACCCCCCUCUAGGCUACUUUCACUAAACCAAACUCCCAAAGAAAUAUCCCUAAAUAGAAAAUUGACAAUCAACAGCACAAAUGCUCAUUCUGUCUCUACCUCUUUCACUAUAAAAGCAAUGAUAACAAAGAAAUAUUGUAAAAUCAUCUAAACUUCAUGACCUACAACUUUUGUAUUCAAAGGAUAAACAAAGUUUUAUUUUAUCUCCAUUUUUUAAUUUGACUUGUAAGGCGACAUACAUGAUCUGCCACCAGAACCUGACGGAACAUGACCCAUAAUUUCAAAACCUCAUAACUCUCUGCAUCUAACAAAAUUUUACAAAUAUAAACUCAUUGAAAAGAUUAUAACAUUCCCUAAAACUUUUAUUAUAAUGAGUGUCUCAGAAUUGGUUUCCAAACCAAUAAAACAAUGCAACUGCUUUGUUGCAAAACUGAUAGGUUAGAAACAAUGGACAACUAAAAUACGAAAUACUAUAACUUCUGCUAUACUCAACUUAAAACUACAACGAACACGCAUUGGAAAAGUUUGGAAAUUGUCCACGACUUUUGCAAUAAAGUUGCACCCAAAUUUAUCUUUAUAGCCCUCAACUCUACAUGACCUACAGCUAAACUCAGCCUGAGAUACUGCACAUCAGAGAUUCGACUUAUAUCCGGACAACCACCUCUCCCAAUCUAUUUAACAAACAAUUACAAAUAAAUACCAUUCUUAAAGAGAAUUCCCAAAUUUGGGCUCUGAAACUAUCAAAACGCGGUCGAUUUAUUAGUGGUUUUAACGACACCUAAAGCUCAGACACAAUGGUGCAACAACUUCAGAGUAGCCUAACUCCAAUUAUAUGCAAUGAAAAUUACAAACCAAUACUCUUUGGCAAGAUCAUGAAAUUACUAAAACUUUCAUAAUCCAACAAAACCCAAAAUUUACCGUAUUCAAUGUCUAUACUUCCGUACAAAAUUAAGGCGGCUAUAGGAAACCCAUAACUCUCAAACGUUUAGACCAAACUGGGUGAUUGAGCAUCCUAUACAAAGAUGAAGAAACCUACUACAAAACAUUCUAGAUAAGUGAAGCCUGAUUCAGCCUCCAACUAAUUUAAAAUGACUCCCAAAACAAAACAACACCUUACCCAUGAUAAAAAAAACAAUAUAAAAUAGAACCCAAGGCAUUGGCAGGUGCGACCCACACUAGGAUUUUCCACUACCAAAUGGGGAUGCAACUCCCCAAAGCCUUUAAGCAACACUUUACCUAAUAGGUUAGAACACUAAGCACAACAAUCAACGAAUUCAACAACCUCGUUUGUUAAUGCCACUAAGGUCAAACAUCCAUGUAUCGACAAUGUAUGAAACACCUGACAUACCCGUCUCUAGCACUAUAAAACAUGGUUGUUAUUACACUAGAAUCCAACUAUUAGAGCUCUCCACAACUAUUAUGUUGACGUGAAGCAAAUGGUGCUCAUGUCAUGUAACGUCUUUUCCUCCUCUCAAAAGAGAUAAAAUUUGCAAUACUCAUAAAGCAAUGGAGGGACAACAACAAGAAAAACUAAUGUACUUCUUGACACAGACUCAUGCAAAAGCUUCAUAAAUAUUACUUUCAAUACUAAAAUAAUAACACGAUACUAUGCUCAACAGGAGUAAUUGGACGUCACUAAGACAAUCCACAUAACCAAGCUACCUUGAUUAACCUCACAUACAACAAAACCUACUAUUACUGCACUUGAACAAUUUGUACCUCGUGAUAUCAUAGGAUGCAUUCAAAGUAGUAGACAUACAUGAUCUAUCAAACCAUCAUUCAUAUAAGAAAAAUCUCAAUCCGAUGAAACAACCCCAUCAUUAAAGAGAUAGAUGACUAACAAACAUAAGCAACUCCCAGUUAAGCAUUGACUUCGUUUAAGAUAAAGCGGUCCAAAUAAUGAUUCAACAAGCAUGCAUAGAGAAACUGUUCAUAGAAAAAAUCAAACUACCAUACAAUGUUGGCAAAUAAAAAAAAUAUAAAACGGGUUGUCAAUAUCGCCCACAUGACUAGCCUGCAACAACUAAAAAAUUAUGCAUAGCCUUUAUGGCUAUUGAAACAAGCCAUAGAAGGAAAACAUGCACGACAUAAAAUCCACUUGAAACCACCCUAUUUAUUGUUAAAAAUAAGGUUGCACAUAAUAAGAAAACCUAUCAAGUAGACAUGGUUGGACUUAUCAAUCUACGUCAUCUCACAAAUUCACUCGAGUUCUACCAGUCUAAAGAUUUCAUAGACAUUACAACGUUGCCUCUGCUCUAUAGAGACAAACCAAUUUUAUACUAAGAUCAAGUUAGCAAGUAGCCACACUAGCCUAAAAAAAGUGAGGCGCAAAACAUUGCACCCAUGGAAAUAUUACAUUGAUAAGUUGGGUUGUUACCCAACAACCAAUCAAACUCAACAACACCAUAAAACUACAUUAUAUAGUGUUUUCACACUACACCAAGACGGAUUAGACCCAAUAUACACAAGCUCAAUAAACAAUCGGUCCUAUAAGUACAAGAACCCAAGAAUCCUUUUGGGAAAAAACAUCCAUAGUCCAGCAUAUAGAAAUAUAUGAUGGUAAUAGCUCAGAGAUUUGAAAACAUUGCAUCCCAAAAAAAACAUCAUGACGAUAUGUAUAUAAAACAAGUACAUUAGUAGCUUCACUUGCAUAAUAUCUUCAAUAACAACCACAUCAAGAAACCAAUAUUAAAUAGAAGUUAUCAUAUCAAGCAUUACGUCGUUAACGACAUACCCCAUCAAACCAUAAAGGGAUUUGGAGUAAGGAAGUUCUAGUCAUCUAUACAAUAAAAUACUAAUAUGAAAGAUAUACGAACCCAUACCCUUCCUAUAUGUGCAAGUGAGUCAUAUUUAUCUUCAAAUUGCGUAGAAUCUAAAGCCUAUGCUUUGAUACCAACUGUAACACCCCGGGGUCCACAAACACCCCAGAAUGCUACUAAACAACACUUCUGACAUCCAUAUAUAAAAUUUCGGCAGCAUCCCCUUUACAAAAUUGCAUAAAUGAGGGGGCAACAGUGUAUAAACAUAUAUCAUGACAAAAAUAUACUAAGUAUUAUUAAUCGGCUAGCAAAGAGAAGUUAAACAUACGACAUGAUCUGAAUUAACUAGUGUGCACGACUAGUUAAAAAACAAACUUCCUUUGACAAUAAGUUUCUAAUUAAAUCAUGGCUGCGCCUGGGCAGCGUUAUUGUGAGAGUGAAAGUGGACGUGCUGCUACUCCCCUCAUUCCCAGCAUGUAUAAAUUACCUGCAUUGAGUAAUGCAAGAGUGAGAUGACACAUCUCAGCAAGUAAAAUAAUAUCAAACUGUUUAACCACAUAAGAAUAUUGUUUUACCACCACUUGAUUCCACAACCUUCUUAUUACGAAGGUGUAACACGUAUACAAUGUAUAAUACACCUAGUCACCACACCUCGCAGGUAGAAACCACAAUAGUAACAUAGUAAUGUCACACUUCAUAUAUACCUCAUGAGUGCAAAUGUCUGCAAAUGCAAGGAUGACUUCUGCCUUCAUACCUCUAAGGAUAUGAAGCCGCAUCGUACCCCUCCUCGGGCAACGUACGAUGCUAAAAAUAUACCGGUACGGUCGGGCCAUAAGAUUGUGACAUAACUUCAAAAUGCAAGAUGGAUGAUGCGAUGUGCAUGUCAUGCCUACAACACUUCAUAUAACGUGAUUCAAAAAAAUACUUCAACUUCAUCCAAGAUGGGAAUCAACCACAUAUAUCAUUACCAAAUUAUGAUCAUCCACAAUAUUAGACAAUUGAGAAUUAAUACUUCCAAACAAAUAAACUUCAUCAUAGAAUUCAAUUAUUAACAUAAUUAAAACUUAUGCAUACUCAAUGACAGGGAUUAGGACGCAACCCAAACGGUAGCAACCACCACUGUAUUUACUUGCCUUUACCGGAAGUUCGGGCAAAUCCCUAAGUACGAUCCGGAAGUCUACCACCUGUUUUUGACACACAACUUAGUGCACCAAUUUCACAUAAUCGGGCUCAUAAACGACGCCGCACCUACGCACAAACUCAAACCCCGCCGCGGGUUACAUCUCUCCCCACACUCACCAAACUGCAGCAGCGCUGCUUAAUAAUUUCAUAACUUUAAAAUUAUGGCAGCAGUGGUAACAAACAAAAACUCCAGAGACAUCUACAUAAAAUUCCCCACAAGUUUUGUAUACAAUUUAUAAUUAAAUUCUAACAUCUAAUUAGCCCAAAACAGUCCACAAGAUGAACCCUGUAAUCUAUUUUUUUUGUCUUUUGGACAGCGACAUACCCGGAUUCGAACAGCGAUAUCUUUUAAAAUAUAAUUCCAAAUCAAGCGCAUAAGUACUCAUUGAAAAUAUAAGACAAACCCCUACAUGAUUAUCAUACUGGUUAACACUAAUUACCCACGAAAAAUUCCCAGAAACUGCUAAUACUACUGCUGUUCACCCACCUGAAAAUCUGUUUUUUGGACAGCAACAUAACCGGAUUCAAACAACGAUAUCUCCUAAAUUAUAACUCCGAAUCGAGCGCAUAAGUACUCGUUGGAAAGGUAUGACAAAGCUCUACAUUAUUCUCCCACUGAUUCCCCACUAAUUGCCCAUGAAAAAUUCCCAGAAAUCUCUAGAACUACUGCUGUUCGUCCACCCACUAAAUUUCUGGACAGCACCUCUACCAAAUCGCAUAGGUAAACAUGUAACCAAUUGGAUUGCAGCACAAAUACAACAAAAUGAUCACGAAAAUCACCUUGGAUUCCUCCUUUCCUCCUUCUUUUCUUCCUUCUUCCUCCCUCCAAACUCCCAUGGAAGACUCGCACCCACACGACGGACACCAAGUGGGGAGGCUCCACCUUGGAGAGGAAGAGGUGGGGGGCGGCUAGGGUUGAGGGGUGGCGCUGCUAUCACUUGGGGAAGAAGGAGAGGGAUUGGGGCGGCUGCAAGAGUGGAAGAGACAGGGGGUGGCCAAAGGGGUGGGGGAGUGAGAGGGAGGGGCGGCUAGGGUUAAGGGGGGGGACUAAUGGGCUCCCCACCGCGGGUCGAGAUCCGCGGCCCAAACUCGCUCUCACGUCUGCUCCCGACCGCAGCGCACAAAUCCAACAAGUAAUCUACUGUUUUACUGGUGAAUGCUUCCUAAAAACUCCAACCCCAACUACACAGAUCACGAAAGAAAAGGGAAAAAUAAAUUUAACUUCUUUUCAAAAAAUUAGGUAUCACAAAUGGUCAGGUGAUAUAGCAAUUUUACCCAAUCCUUUGACCAAACCUUGAUUUCCAUCCCCGAAUGUGAUCACUCGUUGGGGAUCUUGGUUUUUCUCAUAGGAGGAGAACAUCUUCUUCUCCCCUGUCAUGUGGUUUGUGCACCCGUUGUCGAUGAUCCAACUUGAGCCCCCGGAUGCAUAAACCUACAAAACAAGUUUAGUUCUUGAUUUUAGGUACCCAAACGGUUUUGGGUCCUUUGGCAUUAGAUACAAGAACUUUGGGUACCCAAACACAAGUCUUGGAGCUCUUGUGUUUGCCCCCAACAUACUUGGCAACUACCUUGCCUGAUUUGUUGGUUAGCACAUAGGAUGCAUCAAAAGUUUUAAAUGAAAUGUUAUGAUCAUUUGAUGCAAUAGGAGUUUUCUUUUUAGGCAAUUUAUCAUGGGUUGAUUGCCUAGAACUAGAUGUCUCACCCUUAUAUAUGAAAGCAUGAUUAGGGCCAGAGUGAGACUUUCUAGAAUGAAUUCUCCUAAUUUUGCUCUCGGGAUAACCGGUAGGGUACAAAAUGUAACCCUCGUUAUCCUGAGGCAUGGGAGCCUUACCCUUAACAAAGUUAGACAAUCUUUUAGGAGGGGCAUUAAGUUUGACAUUGUCCCCCUUUUGGAAGCCAAUGUCAUCCUUGAUGCCAGGGCGUCUCCCAUUAUAGAGCAUGCUUCUAGCAAAUUUAAAUUUUUCAUUUUCUAACUCAUGCUCAUUGAUUUUAGCAUUAAGUUGAGUUGUGUGAUCAUUUUGUUUCUUAACUAAAGCUAGGUGGUCAUGGAUAGCAUCAACAUUAAUAUAUCUACAUCUAGUGCAAAUGGAAACAUGCUCAACGACAGAUGUAGAGGGUUUGCAGGCAUUAAGUUCAACGAUCUUAGCACGCAAGAUAUCAUUGUUAUCUCUAAGAUCGGAAAUUGUAACAUUGCAAACAUCUAAUUCUUUAGCCUUAGCGAUUAAUUUUUCAUUAUCAUUUCUAAGGCUAGCAAGGGAUAUGUUUAAUUCUUCAAUCUUAGCAAGUAAAUUAACAUUAUCAUCUUUAAGAUUGGGAAUUGAAACAUCACAAGCAUUUGAAUCCACCUUAGCAAUUAAACUAGCAUUCUCAUUUCUAAGGUUGGUGAUAAUAUCAUGGCAUGUGCUUAGCUCACUAGAUAGUUUUUCACAUUUUUCUACUUCUAGAGCGUAAGCAUUUUUAACCUUCACAUGCUUCUUAUUUUCCUUAAUUAGGAAGUCCUCUUGGGUGUCCAAGAGAUAAUCCUUCUCAUGAAUAGCACUAAUUAAUUCAUUCAAUUUUUCUUUUUGUUGCAUGUUUAGGUUGGCAAAAAGGGUACGCAAAUUAUCUUCCUCAUCACUACAAUUUUCCUCAUCACUAGAGGUUGCAUAUUUAGUGGAGGACUUUGAUUUUACCUUCUUCCUUUUGCCGUCCUUUGCCAUGAGGCACUUGUGGCUGACGUUGGGGAAGAGGAGACCCAUGGUGAUGGCGAUGUUGGUGGCGUCCUCGUCGGAGGAAGAGUCGGAGGAGCUCUCAUCGGAGUCCCACUCGCGACAUACAUGUGUGUUGGGGCGAAGGCGAAGACGCCACCCUUCGCUCGAGGCCUUCGCCGCGGUCGUUGGUCCAACGGAGACAAGACAACGGACAGGGACACCCUUCGCUCCAUACGACAUCGGACGAAGACCUGUGACGAGGUCAUCCCACCGUGCGGCCUCGUCCAGCAUGGAGGCCCACGUGUGAUCCGGCCCAUUGUAACAGGCCCUGCGUGGCCGCUGCGUGUUACGGGCCUAAUUUGUAAAGGCGCCUCUGUAAUUACAGUAUGUAACCCCGCUUUAUGGUAAUAUUCUGGGGAUAACCUAGGUGUCUGAGGGCACAAGCGUCCUUAACACAAGACGCUGGGCACUCAGAUACCUAUAAAUACCCCCGCACUGUGCCCUUGAGAGCCUAGAUUAACACAGCUAUUGCCAUCUUGCGCGAGAACCCUGUUAACGUCACUGUUCACCCCCGUUGGAUCCCCUUGCAACAGAGAGCAAGUUCCAACAAUGUGCAUCGCCGCCUCUCUUCUUGUAGUAUCUUUUCUUUUCUUUCCUCUUUCCCUUCUUGUCGUCGCCCCUGUCACUGUCACUAGAUAAUGGACAUUUUGCAAUAAAAUGACCGGGCUUACCACAAUUGUAGCAAACUUUCUUGGAGCGGGAUUUGUAGUCCUUCCCCCUCCUUUGCUUGAGGAUUUGGCGGAAGCUCUUGAUGAUGAGCGCCAUCUCCUCAUUGUCGAGCUUUGAGGCGUCGAUUGGUUGUCUACUUGAUGUAGACUCCUCCUUCUUCUCCUCUGUUGCCUUGAAUGCAAGUGGUUGUGCUUCGGGCGUGGAGGGGCCAUCUAGCUCGUUGAUUUUCUUUGAGCCUUUGAUCAUUAAUUCAAAGCUCACAAAGUUUCCUAUCACUUCCUCGGGAGACAUUAGUGUAUAUCUAGGAUUACCUCGAAUUAAUUGAACUUGUGUAGGAUUAAGAAAGACGAGGGAUCUUAGAAUAACCUUGACCAUCUCAUGGUCAUCCCAUUUUGUGCUCCUAAGGUUGCGCACUUGGUUCACCAAGGUCUUCAAGCGGUUGUACAUGUCUUGUGGCUCCUCCCCUUGGCGAAGCCGGAAGCGACCGAGCUCCCCCUCGAUUGUAUCCCGCUUGGUGAUUUUGGUCACCUCAUCUCCUUCGUGUGCGGUCUUGAGUACGUCCCAAAUCUCUUUGGCACUUUUCAAUCCUUGCACCUUGUUAUACUCCUCUCGACUUAGAGACGCGAGGAGUAUAGUGGUGGCUUGAGAGUUGAAGUGCCGGAUUUGGGCGACCUCGUCCGAAUCAUAGUCUUCAUCCCCUGGUGAUGGUACCUGUACUCCAAUCUCAACAACAUCCCAAAUGCUAGUGUGGAGUGAGGUUAGAUGAUGCCUCAUUUUAUCACUCCACAUAUUAUAAUCUUCACCAUCAAACAUAGGUGGUUUGCCUAAUGGGACGGAAAGUAAUGGAGUACGCUUAGAAAUGCGAGGAUAGCGUAGGGGGAUCUUACUAAACUUCUUGCGCUCAUGGCGCUUAGAAGUUACGGACGGCGCGUCGGAGCCAGAGGUGGAUGGCGACGAGGAGUCAGUCUCGUAGUAGACCACCUUCCUCAUCUUCUUCUUCUUGUCACCACUCUGACGCGACUUGUAUGAAGGGGAUUCCUUUCCCUUCCCCUUGUUGCGGGAUUCUCCCGAUGGAGCUUUCCCGUGGCUUGUAGCGGGCUUCUCGCCGGUCACCAUCUCCUUCUUGGCGUGAUCUCCCGACAUCACUUCGAGCGGUUAGGCUCUAAUGAAGUACCGGCUCUGAUACCAAUUGAAAGUCGCCUAGAGGGGGGUGAAUAGGGCGAAUCUGAAAUUUACAAACUUAAUCACAACUACAAGUCGGGUUAGCGUUAGAAAUAGAAACGAGUCCGAGAGAAAGGGCGCAAAACAAAUCGUGAGCGAAUAAAGAGCGAGACACGAUGAUUUGUUUUACCGAGGUUCGGUUCUUGCAAACCUACUCCCCGUUGAGGUGGUCACGAAGACCGGGUCUCUUUCAACCCUUUCCCUCUCUCAAACGGUCACUUAGACCGAGUGAGCUUCUUCUUCUCAAUUAAACGGGACACAAAGUCCCCGCAAGGACCACCACACAAUUGGUGUCUCUUGCCUUGGUUACAAUUGAGUUUGAUCACAAGAAUGGAGAAAGAAAGAAGCAAUCCAAGCGCAAGAGCUCAAAUGAACACAACAAAUCACUCUCUCUAAUCACUAAAGCUUUGUGUGAAGUUGGGAGAGGAUUUGAUCUCUUUGGUGUGUCUUGCACUGAAUGCUAUAGCUCUUGUAAGGUGUAGAAGUGUAGAAACUUGGAUGCCAUUGAAUGUGGGGUGGUUGGGGUAUUUAUAGCCCCAACCACCAAAAGAUGGCCGUUGGAAGACUGCUGUCGCAUGGCGCACCGGACAGUCCGGUGCGCCACCGGACACUGUCCGGUGCGCCAGCCACGUCAGCAAACCGUUGGGGUUUGACCGUUGAAGCUCUGACUUGUGGGGCCUCUGGGCUGUCCGGUGGUGCACCGGAUAGGUCCUGUAAAGUGUCUAGUGCGCACCCGCGCGUGCUCUGACUUCUGCGCGCACUGUAGCGCAUUGAAUGCGGUUGCAGUCGACCGUUGGCGCGAAGUAGUCGUUGCUCCUGAGAGCACCUAGAGGGGGGGUGAAUAGGUGAUCCUGUAACACUUCAAAACUUAAGCCACAAAACUUGGUUAAUUGUUAGCACGAAAAAUUGCCAAGUGGCUAGAGAGGAAUCCUCAACAAAACACAAUAACCAACAAAGAUCAAUCACAGAGAUGGCACGGUGGUUAUCCCGUGGUUCGGCCAAGACCAACGCUUGCCUACUCCACAUUGUGGCGUCCCAACGGACGAGGGUUGCAAUCAACCCCUCUCAAGUGGUCCAAAGACCCACUUGAAUACCACGAUGUUUUGUUUGCUUUACUCAAUCCCGUUUGCGAGGAAUCUCCACAAAUUGGAGCCUCUCGCCCUUACACUUAAAGUUCACAAAGAAGCACGGAGCAAGGGAGGGAUUAGCAACGCACUCAAGACAAGAAAUCACAGCAACACCACGCACACAAGUCACAAUGAGAGCUCACAACACAACUCAAUGAGUUCACCACUCAACUAGAGCUCUAAUCGUUAUCGCAAAGAAUCAAAGGCGCGGAGUUGAUGUCUUGGUGCUUAGGAAUGCUUAGGAGAUGCUUGGUGUUCUCCUCCAUGCGCCUAGGGGUCCCUUUUAUAGCCCCAAGGCAGCUAGGAGCCGUUGAGAGCAAUCUAGGAAGGCUGAUGUUGCCUUCUGUCGACUGGCGCACCGGACAGUCCGGUGCACACCGGACAGUGUCCGGUGCCCGAUUUCCUUCCAUAAAUGGCGCAGUCGACCGUUGGCAGCCAAAGAGUCGUUGGCGCACCGGACAUGUCCGGUGCACACCGGACAGUCCGGUGUCCCCUUCUAGCCGUUGGCUCGGCCACGUGUCCCGCGCAGAUCGCGCGGCCGACCGUUGGCCCUGCCGACCGUUGGCUCACCGGACAGUCCGGUGCACACCGGACAGUCCGGUGAAUUAUAGCCGUACAUCGCCGAUGAAUUCCCGAGAGCGACGAGUUCGCCUGUGAACGGCCCACCGGACAGUCCGGUGAAUUAUAGUUGUACACCGCCGUCGAAGUCCCGAGAACAGCCUUUUUCCUCGAGCCAGCCUGGCGCACUGGACACUGUCCGGUGCACCACCGGACAGUCCGGUGCUCCAGACUGAGCAAAGUCUUGGCUGCUCGAGCCAAGGCUUUUCCAAUUGGUCUUUUCCUGUUUCCAGCACUUAGACACAAUACAUUAGUCUCUAAAACAAUGUACUAAGUCUGAGAAACAUACCUUUAUCCUUGAUUUGUACUUUGUCCACCAUUUUACACUUAGGCACUUGUGUUGGACACUAAACCACCAAAAUACUUAGAAAUGGCCCAAGGGCACAUUUCCCUUUCAAUCUCCCCCUUUUUGGUGAUUUAUGCCAACACAACAUAAAGCAAGUAGAACAAGUACAAAAUCACUUCAAAUAAGAACUCAAAUUAUUUUGAUUCAAAUUUGACAUAUAUGGAUCACUCUAUGCCACCACUUGGUUUGUUUUUGCAAAUCAAACUCAAAUUCCUAUCUCUAAGUCAAAACCACUUGUAGAGACAUAAAGAGAGGUUUUCCAAAGAAAUUUGAUCAAGGAUUCCAAAAACUCCCCCCUUUUCCCAUAAUCAACACUUCUCCCCACAAGAGGCCAACUUUUGACAUAAGAGACAAUAAAAGAGUUUUGACAAACCAAAAGCUCUAAUCUACUAUUUUCAAAAUUUCUCAAGUGGUAGCUGAUCCAUCUAUUGCUUUGGCCUUUAUUUUCUCCCCCUUUGGCAUCAAGCACCAAAACGGGAUCAAUCUUGGCCCUUUAACCCCAUUGCCUCACCAAAAUCAUCAAAUGAGAACACAAAGGCAAUAAGAGUAUAAAGAUGAACUUGGAAAAGUUACUCUUUUCAUCGAAGUGCAGUGGAAGUCUUGCAUGUUCCAAGUCCACCUUUUCCCUUUCAAUCCUCCUUUGAGGCUAAAACAACCAAACUCAAGUACACGGUUAGUCUCAAAGGGUCAAGUUGUAGCACAGCUCCCCCUAAAUAUGUGCAUCACUUGCAAAAAGGACUUGUGAGGUCCAGGGAGUGUUUGUACAAUUUGAGCACCACAAUAAGCAACAAAAUGCAGAAUGAACAUGAUCAAAGGCAUAAACACAUGUAUGCUACAAUUCAAUCCAAGUUCCGCGAAUCUAGGACAUUUAGCUCACUACGCAGCCUGCAAAAGGUCUUUUCAUCUAAAGGCUUAGUGAAGAUAUCGGCUAGCUGGUUUUCGGUGCUAACAUGAAACACUUCGAUAUCUCCCUUUUGCUGGUGGUCUCUCAAAAAGUGAUGCCGGAUGUCAAUGUGCUUUGUGCGGCUGUGCUCAACAGGAUUUUCCGCUAUUCGGAUAGCACUCUCAUUAUCACAUAGGAGUGGGACUUUGCUCAGAUUGUAGCCAAAGUCCCGGAGGGUUUGCCUCAUCCAAAGUAGUUGCGCGCAACACUGUCCUGCGGCAACGUACUCGGCCUCAGCGGUGGAUAGGGCAACGGAAGUUUGUUUCUUAGAAUUACAUGACACCAGGGACCUUCCUAAGAAUUGGCACGUCCCCGAUGUACUCUUCCUAUCGACCUUACAUCCAGCAUAGUCGGAAUCUGUGUACCCAAUCAAGUCAAAGUUAGACCCCUUUGGAUACCAGAUCCCGAAACAAGGCGUAGCGACUAAAUAUCGAAGAAUUCGCUUCACAGCCACUAAGUGGCACUCCUUAGGAUCGGAUUGAAAUCUAGCACACAUGCAUACGCUAAGCAUAAUAUCCGGUCUACUAGCACAUAAAUAAAGCAAAGAACCUAUCAUGGACCGGUAUGCUUUUUGAUCAACGGACUUACCUCCUUUGUUGAGGUCGGUGUGUCCGUCAGUUCCCAUCGGCGUCUUUGCGGGCUUGGCAUCCUUCAUCCCAAACCGCUUUAGCAAGUCUUGCGUGUACUUCGUUUGGGAGAUGAAAGUGUCGUCCUUGAGUUGCUUCACUUGGAACCCAAGGAAGUAGUUCAACUCGCCCAUCAUCGACAUCUCGAAUUUCUGCGUCAUCACCCUGCUAAACUCUUCACAAGACUUUUGAUUAGUAGAACCAAAUAUUAUGUCAUCGACAUAAAUUUGGCAUACAAAAAGAUCACCAUCGCAAGUCUUAGUAAAAAGAGUUGGAUCGGCUUUCCUGACCUUGAAAGCAUUAGCAAUUAAAAAGUCUCUAAGGCAUUCAUACCAUGCUCUUGGGGCUUGCUUAAGUCCAUAGAGCGCCUUAGAGAGCUUACACACGUGGUCGGGGUACCGUUCAUCCUCGAAGCCAGGGGGUUGCUCCACGUACACCUCCUCCUUGAUUGGCCCAUUGAGGAAAGCGCUCUUCACAUCCAUUUGGUACAACCUGAAAGAAUGGUGAGCGGCAUAUGCUAGCAAGAUACGAAUUGACUCUAGCCUAGCCACAGGAGCAAAAGUCUCCUCAAAGUCCAAACCUGCGAGUUGGGCAUAACCUUUUGCCACAAGCCGAGCCUUGUUCCUUGUCAGCACCCCGUGCUCGUCCUGUUUGUUGCGGAACACCCACUUGGUUCCCACAACAUUUUGCUUGGGGCGAGGCACCAGUGUCCAAACUCCAUUGCGCUUGAAAUUGUUGAGUUCCUCCUGCAUGGCCAACACCCAGUUCGGAUCUAGCAAGGCCUCUUCUACCCUGAAAGGCUCAAUAGAAGAGACAAAAGAGUAAUGCUCACAAAAAUUAACUAAUCUUGAACGAGUAGUUACUCCCUUGCUAAUAUCACCCAAUAUCUGGUCGACGGGAUGAUCCCUUUGAAUCGUCACUCGAACUUGGGUUAGAGGUGCCAGAGGUGCUUCUUCCUCUUCAAUUUGAACAUCCUGUGCUCCCCCUUGAUCAUGCGCCUCCACUUGAGGUACCUGUUCGUCAUCUUGGGUUGGGGGUUGCACCAUAGUUGAGGAAGACGGUUGAUCUUGCUCCAAUUGUUCCUGAGGCCGUACAUCUCCAAUCGCCAUGGUGCGUAUCGCGGCCGUUGGAACGUCUUCUUCAUCUAUAUCAUCAAGAUCAACAACUUGCUCUCUUGGAGAGCCAUUAGUCUCAUCAAAUACAACGUCGCUAGAGACUUCAACCAAACCCGAUGAUUUGUUGAAGACCCUAUACGCCUUUGUAUUUGAAUCAUAACCUAAUAAAAACCCUUCUACAGCCUUGGGAGCAAAUUUGGAAUUCCUACCCUUCUUCACUAGAAUGUAGCAUUUACUCCCAAAUACACGAAAGUACGAUACAUUGGGUUUGUUACCAGUUAGCAGCUCAUAUGAAGUCUUCUUGAGGAGGCGGUGAAGGUAGACCCUGUUGAUGGCGUGGCAAGCCGUGUUCACGGCUUCCGACCAAAAGCACUCGGGGGUCUUGAACUCUCCAAGCAUAGUCCUCGCCAUAUCUAUGAGCGUCCUGUUCUUCCUCUCUACCACACCAUUUUGCUGAGGUGUGUAGGGAGCGGAGAACUCGUGCUUGAUCCCCUCCUCCUCAAGGUACUCCUUCACUUGAAGGUUCUUGAACUCGAACCCAUUGUCGCUCCUUAUCUUUUUCACCUUGAGCUCAAACUCGUUUUGAGCUCUCCUUAGGAAGCGCUUGAGGGUCCCUUGGGUUUCAGACUUAUCCUGCAAAAAGAAUACCCAAGUGAAGCGGGAAAAGUCAUCCACAAUAACUAAACCAUACUUACUUCCUCCUAUGCUUAGAUAGGCGACGGGUCCGAAGAGGUCCAUAUGUAGCAGCUCCAGGGGUCUUGAUGUGGUCAUCACAUUCUUGCUGUGAUGCGCUCCUCCUACUUGUUUACCUGCUUGACACGCUGCACAAGGUCUAUCUUUUUCGAAUUGCACGUUAGUCAAACCUAUCACGUGUUCUCCCUUUAGAAGCUUGUGAAGGUUCUUCAUCCCUACAUGUGCUAAGCGGCGAUGCCACAGCCAGCCCAUGCUAGUCUUAGCUAUUAAGCAUGCAUCUAGACCGGCCUCCUCUUUUGCAAAAUCUACUAAAUAAAGUUUGUCGUCUAAUACACUCUUAAAAGCUAAUGAACCAUCACUUCUUCUAAAGACAGACACAUCUACAUUUGUAAAUAAACAGUUAUAUCCCAUAUUACAUAAUUGACUAACAGAUAGUAAAUUAUAUCCAAGACUCUCCACUAAAAACACAUUAGAGAUAGAAUGCUCAUUUGAUAUUGCAAUCUUGCCUGAACCUUUCACCUUGCCUUGGUUCCCAUCACUGAAUAUGAUUGAAUCUUGGGAAUCCUUAUUCUUGACGUAGGAGGUGAACAUCUUCUUCUCUCUCGUCAUAUGGUUUGUGCAUCCGCUGUCGAUAAUCCAGCUUGAACCCCCGGAUGCAUAAACCUGCAAGGCAAAUUUAGGCUUGGGUCUUAGGUACCCAACUCUUGUUGAGUCCUACAAGGUUAGUCACAAUUUCCUUAGGGACCCAAAUGCAAGUUUUAUCACCCUUGCAUUUUGACCCUAAUUUCCUAGCAACUAUCUUCCUAUCCUUUCUACAAAUAGCAAAGGAAGCAUUCAAAGUAUGAUAAAUUGUAAAGGGACCAUUCAUAACUUUCCUAGAAGCAUGAACAAAAUUUUUUCUAGGCACAUGAUGAACAUUUUUCCUAGGUAUAUCUCUACCAUGCAUAUAGGAAGAACUAGGAGCAAACAUAGCAUACGAGUCAUGUGAAUCAAAAGCAUUGCAACUCCUAUGAGACUGUCUUCUAUCAUUGUACAUAAAGGCAUGGUUCUUUUUAGUGCUACUUGCCAUAGGGGCCUUCCCUUUCUCCUUGGUGGAGAUGGGAGCCUUAUGGCUUGUUAAGUCCUUGGCUUCCCUCUUGAAGCCAAGUCCAUCCUUAAUUGAGGGGUGUCUACCAAUCGUGUAGGCAUCCCUUGCAAAUUUUAGCUUAUCGAAAUCACUUUUGCUAGUCUUAAGUUGGGCAUUAAGACUAGCUACUUCAUCAUUCAAUCUCGAAAUUGAAACUAGGUGUCCACUACAGUCAUCAAUAUCAAUAUCCUUACACCAAGUGCAAAUCAUAACGUGUUCUACACAAGAAUUAGAUUUAUUUGCUACUUCUAAUUUAGCAUUUAAAUCAUUGUUAACACCUUGUAAAGUAGAAAUGGUUUCAUGACAAGUAGAUAGUUCAUAAGAAAGCAUUUCAUUUCUUUUAACUUCUAAGGCAUAGGAUUUUUGUGCUUCUACAAAUUUAUCAUGUUCAUCAUACAACAAAUCCUCUUGCUUUUCUAAAAGCCUAUCCUUUUCAUUCAAGGCAUCAAUCAAUUCAUUGAUUUUAUCAAUUUUAUUUCUAUCUAGGCCUUUAAAUAGACAUGAAUAAUCUAUUUCAUCCUCAUCACUAGAUUCGUCCUCACUUGAAGAAGCAUAAGUAGAGUCUCGAGUACAUACCUUCUUCUCCCUUGCCAUAAGGCAUGUGUGACGCUCAUUGGGGAAGAGGGAUGACUUGUUGAAGGCGGUGGCGGCGAGUCCUUCAUUGUCGGAGUCGGACGAGGAGCAGUCCGAAUCCCACUCCUUGCCGAGAUGAGCCUCGCCCUUUGCCUUCUUAUAAUUCUUCUUCUUCUCCCUCUUGUUCCCUUGGUCCUGUUCACUAUCAUUGUCGGGACAGUUAGCAAUAAAAUGACCAAGCUUACCGCAUUUGAAGCAUGAGCGCUUCCCCUUGGCUUUGGUCUUGCUUGGCUGUCCCUUGCGACCUUUAAGCGUCGUCUUGAAUCUUUUGAUGAUGAGGGCCAUCUCUUCAUCAUUAAGUCCGGCUGCCUCAAUUUGUGCCACCUUACUAGGUAGCACCUCCUUGCUUCUUGUUGCCUUGAGAGCAAGGGAUUGCGGCUCGUUGAUCGGACCAUUCAAGGCGUCGUCCACGUACCUCGCCUCCUUGAUCAUCAUCCGCCCGCUAACGAAUUUUCCAAGGACUUCUUCGGGCGACAUUUUGGUGUACCUGGGAUUCUCACGAAUAUUAUUUACCAAAUGAGGAUCAAGAACGGUAAAGGACCUUAGCAUCAGUCGGACGACGUCGUGGUCCGUCCAUCGCGUGCUUCCGUAGCUCCUUAUUUUGUUGAUAAGGGUCUUGAGCCGGUUGUAUGUUUGUGUCGGCUCCUCGCCCCUUAUCAUCGCAAACCGUCCAAGCUCGCCCUCCACCAACUCCAUCUUGGUGAGCAAGGUGACGUCGUUCCCCUCAUGAGAAAUCUUGAGGGUGUCCCAGAUCUGCUUGGCGUUAUCCAAGCCGCUCACUUUGUGAUAUUCAUCCCUGCACAAUGAAGCUAGAAGAACAGUAGUAGCUUGUGCAUUCUUAUGAAUUUGCUCAUUAAUGAACAUGGGACUAUCCGAACUAUCAAAGUGCAUUCCACUCUCUACAAUCUCCCAUAUACUAGGAUGGAGAGAGAAUAGGUGACUACGCAUUUUGUGGCUCCAAAAUCCGUAGUCCUCUCCAUCAAAGUGUGGAGGCUUGCCGAGUGGAAUGGAGAGCAAAUGUGAAUUUGAACUUUGCGGAAUACGAGAGUAGUCAAAAGAAAAGUUCGAAUUAACCGGUUUCCUUCUCUCGUAGUCGUUGUGGUCAUCGUCCUUUUGGGAAGAAGUAGACUCAUCGCUGUCGUCGUAGUAGACGAUCUCCUUGAUGUGCCUCGUCUUCUUCUUCUUCCCUUCCUUCUGUCUAUGGCCCGAGCCGGAGUCGGUAGGCUUGUCGUCCUUUGGCUCGUUGAUGAAGGAUUCCUUCUCUUUAUCGUUGAUCACGAUUCCCUUCCCCUUAGGAUCCAUCUCUUCGGGCGGUUAGUCCCUUUGUGAAGAGAACGGCUCCGAUACCAAUUGAGAGCACCUAGAGGGGGGUGAAUAGGUGAUCCUGUAACACUUCAAAACUUAAGCCACAAAACUUGGUUAAUUGUUAGCACAAAAAAUUGCCAAGUGGCUAGAGAGGAAUCCUCAACAAAACACAAUAACCAACAAAGAUCAAUCACAGAGAUGGCACGGUGGUUAUCCCGUGGUUUGGCCAAGACCAACGCUUGCCUACUCCACGUUGUGGCGUCCCAACGGACGAGGGUUGCAAUCAACCCCUCUCAAGUGGUCCAAAGACCCACUUGAAUACCACGAUGUUUUGUUUGCUUUACUCAAUCCCGUUUGCGAGGAAUCUCCACAAAUUGGAGCCUCUCGCCCUUACACUUAAAGUUCACAAAGAAGCACGGAGCAAGGGAGGGAUUAGCAACGCACUCAAGACAAGAAAUCACAGCAACACCACGCACACAAGUCGCAAUGAGAGCUCACAACACAACUCAAUGAGUUCACCACUCAACUAGAGCUCUAAUCGCUAUCGCAAAGAAUCAAAGGCGCGGAGUUGAUGUCUUGGUGCUUAGGAAUGCUUAGGAGAUGCUUGGUGUUCUCCUCCAUGCGCCUAGGGGUCCCUUUUAUAGCCCCAAGGCAGCUAGGAGCCGUUGAGAGCAAUCUAGGAAGGCUGAUCUUGCCUUCUGUCGACUGGCGCACCGGACAGUCCGGUGCACACCGGACAGUGUCCGGUGCCCGAUUUCCUUCCAUAAAUGGCGCAGUCGACCGUUGGCAGCCAGAGAGCCGUUGGCGCACCGGACAUGUCCGGUGCACACCGGACAGUCUGGUGCCCCCUUCUAGCCGUUGGCUCGGCCACGUGUCCCGCGCAGAUCGCGCGGCCGACCGUUGGCCCUGCCGACCGUUGGCUCACCGGACAGUCCGGUGAAUUAUAGUCGUACGUCGCCGAUGAAUUCCCGAGAGCGAUGAGUUCGCCUGUGAACGGCCCACCGGACAGUCCGGUGCACCACCAGACAGUCCGGUGCACCACCAGACAGUCCGGUGAAUUAUAGCCGUACACCGCCGUCGAAGUCCCGAGAACAGCCUUUUUCCUCGAGCCAGCCUGGCGCACCGGACACUGUCCGGUGCACCACUGGACAGUCCGGUGCUCCAGACUGAGCAAAGUCUUGGCUGCUCGAGCCAAGGCUUUUCCAAUUGGUCUUUUCCUGUUUCCAGCACUUAGACACAAUACAUUAGUCUCUAAAACAAUGUACUAAGUCUGAGAAACAUACCUUUAUCCUUGAUUUGUACUUUGUCCACCAUUUUACACUUAGGCACUUGUGUUGGACACUAAACCACCAAAAUACUUAGAAAUGGCCCAAGGGCACAUUUCCCUUUCAGCUCCGCUGGCACACCGGACAGUCCGAUGUGCACGGACACUGUCCGGUGACUCACCGGACAGUCCGGUGAAUUAUAGCGGAGCGCCCUCUAAGAUUCCCGAAGGUAGCGAGUUCAGCUUCAAGUGCCCUGGUGCACCGGACAGUCCGGUGCGCCAGACCAGGGUGCCUUUGGGUUAUCUUUUGCUCUCUUUGUUUGAACCCUUUCUUGGUCUUUUUAUUGGCUUAUUGUGAACCUUUGGUACUUGUAGAACUUAUAGACUAGAGCAAACUAGUUAGUCCAAUUAUUUGUGUUGGGCAAUUCAACCACCAAAAUCAAUUAGGAAAAAGGUGUAAGCCUAAUUCCCUUUCAGCGGUCAGCCGAGGGAUCCCUGCAUUGGAGCUUCCUAGAAACUGUAGCGGGUUUUCUAAAGCUAGUGGAACUUUGUAAAGGCCUCGUAGUGUUACCCUACCUCGCCUCCUUGGUAGAGGUGUAUAGGAUUCAUGACCCCUUGGCAGAUGGGUAACAUGACUUGUGGGUAAAGAUGUGCAACCUCUGCAGAGUGUAAAACUGGUAUAUUAGCCGUGCUCACGGUCAUGAGCGGCUCGGACCCUCACAUGAUUAAUUUAUGGAACUAAAUUCAAAUUGUCAUAUGCAUUGCAUCGCGGGUGUUGUUAUCAAUUUUGAUCUAUUACUUAUUUGGGUUGGUAUCUACUUACACUUAGUAACUGCUAAUAAAAUUUUGACCAACUUUAAAAGCAAUGAUCAGCUUUAACCAUCUUCUUUGGUAAGCCUUACAUUUCACAUGAGCUCCCACCUUUUGUAAGUUCAUGCACACUAUUCCCCACAACUUGUUGAGCGAUGAACGUAUGUGAGCUCACCCUUGCUGUCUCACACCCCCCACAAGUCAAGAAUAGGUACCGCAGGAUGAGGCGCAUGGAGGAUGUUGUGAUGUGAUCAUGAGAGGUCUAGGUUGUCGUCUCCCAGUCAACUUUGGGUUGUUGGAUCGUUGUCUCCAUAUGAUGUAAUUAUUUAUUUAUUUUGUACAUAACUCCUAUUAUAUAGUGAAGAUGUGACAUUCGUUUCUGUACCAUGAGUCAUCAUAUGUGUGAGACUUGGUCCCAGCACACUUGGUUAUUAUUUCGCGUCCGGGUCUUGGUGCCCCUGAAACUUGGGUGUGACAUCAAAAGGAUUUAGAAUUAGCAGGACCAAAACCGAGUAUAUGAUAUGUGAUUUUGGUACUACAAUUAGUGAUGAUGGAGAUGUAAGUUUGGGGGGCUAGGUAGUAAGAAGGACACCUUCCGUUAUUUGGAAUCGAUGCUACAGAGAGAUGGUGAUAUUGAUGAAGAUGUUAGCCAUAGAAUCAAAGCGGGGUGGGUGAAAUGGCGUCAAGCAUCGGGAGUACUAUGCGACAAGAGAGUGCCACAGAAGUUCAAAGGCAAGUUCUACAGGACAGCGAUUAGGCCUACUAUGUUAUAUGGGGCUGAGUGUUGGCCUACUAAAAGAAGACAUAUCCAACAAAUAAGUGUCGCAGAGAUGCGUAUGUUGCGUUGGAUAUGUGGGCACACAAGAUUGGACCGAGUGAGAAACGAUGACAUACAUGAUCAGCUAGGAAUAGCGCUAAUUGAAUAAAAGCUUAUUCAACAUCGGUGGAGAUGGUUUGGGCAUGUCCACCGGAGACCCCAGAGGCACCGAUGCAUAGAGGCAUCAUAAGACGGGACAAUAAUGUGAAGAGAGGUAGAGGUCGACCAAACUUGACAUGGGAGGAGGCAAUCAAAUGGAAUAUCCCAAUGGAGUUGUGUUUGGAUAGAAGUGCUUGGAAAGAAGCUAUCCACGUGCCUGAACCGUGAUUAGGCUUUUUUUUCCUUUUAGUGCCCUCAAAAGCUUUUCACCUCCCCUUUCUCUCUCUUUCUUCUUUCGGUGACAUCUUGUUGGGUUUUACUCUAGACUACCCCAACUUGCUUGGGACUAAAACGCUAUGUUGAUGUUGAUGAAGGUGGAGUCUGAAUUUUGAAACAUUCACUUACUUGUUCAAUAACCAAACUCUACAACAUUCUGACACCUCUGCCAAUGUGGGACUGAAAGUUGCCUAGAGGACGGGUGAAUAGGAGAAACCUAAAAUUUGUCACAAAUUGUAACAACUAGCACCUGAUUAAGCAUUAGAAUGAGAAUUAGGACAAUCAGAAUGAGGGAGAGAUGUUCUUUUUGCUUAGGGUUGUUCAAUUGAUCGCGGAAUUACUUUGGGAGCAACUCAAAUACUAUAGAAUCUAACACAAGCAAGAGAAUUAAGGGAGAGGGGAGAGCUAGAAAUAAAUCACAAUACAAAAUCAGCACAAAGAACGCGGACGAUUUAUUUCCCGAGGUUCGGUUCUGAAGAACCUACUCCCCGUUGAGGAGUUCACUAAAGACGAGUCUCUUUCAACCCUUUCAUUCUCUCAAACGGUCACUUAGAUCAGCUGGGUGUUUUUUCUCAAUCUCAAAGGACACUAAGUCCCCGCAAAAAUCACCGCACAAUUUGACAUCUCUUGCUAACUUUACUAAGUGUGAGAAUGGGGAUGGAAAUGAGAAUGAAACACAAGAACACAAGUAAUGAAUACAACAAGCUCAAAUGAAACACUUCACAAGGCACUACUAUUUCUCUAGUUCAAUCCUGAUGAAUUUGGCACUUGGGAGGAAUUGCAAGGCUUGAAGUUGUUGCAAGUAUUGAAUAGGAGUUUGGUGAAGCUCUUAUGUAUCUUGAAUACAGGUGGAGGGAUAUUUAUAGCCCCAAUCACCCCAUACGGCCGUUGUGAAAAGGCAGUCAAAAGUGUAUCGGAGCACAACCCCAAUUAUGGGCCGAGCCAACGGCCCACAACUUGUGUGUCAGACCAGCCCCAAAAGCCCAAGAUGUCGUAAUGUGAUAGACCGGCCCACAUACAAGAUACAAUAAUAAUAAUAAUAAUAAUAAUAAUAAUAAUAAUAAUAAUAAUAAUAAUAAUAAUAAUAAUAAUAAUAUACAAACUAAGGUACAAAGCAUAUAUGACAAAAUUAAACUAAGCUAUUUUGCAGCUAAACAGAGGUACUGAACAUAUAUGACCGAAUAAAACUGAGCUAUUUUGUAGCUACCUCGUUAAAAACCUUUGGUCAAAAGGAAAAAAGAGAACAUCCAACUCAAAAAUAAUAUCUAGUUUGAUGUUUAGAGUUUAGUUAAGUAAUACAGCCAUACAUACAAAAUUACAAAAUACAGUGAUAAAAUCCUACAUGACCACAAGCACAAUAUGCAACAGGUUGAGCAUCUUAAUUAUCAUCACCAUCAAAAGUGACGGUUAGAAACUUUGUUAUUUUUUCUCCAUAUUUACUGUCACCUCACCAACAGUCAUAUUUUUUAAAUUUUAUUAAAACAAAGUCUAUAUAGAAACCAUAGCAAUACACAUCCUCCAAGUAGUUUAAAGAUUACGUACGAUGAGGUUGUUUUUAAGGCGAAAAUUGGAGCAAAUGGGCAAACAACAUUAACAAAAAUAUCUGACAUCCACAUAGACGAGUGAUAAACAUUGCACCGAGAUUUUAAAAAAUAAAAGGAUCCGCAACUUCCGUUCAAAAUUUAAACCAUAUCAUCUCGCAUAUCUUGUGUAAGUAUCAGGAUUCCCCAAACCCACGAGAAAAUUUCUUGCUGAAACAAAUUCUAAGGGACUUAAACAUUGUGGAAGAUGCCUAUAUCGCCUAGUUCUUGGAGGCCUUAUCCUUGGUUUUUUGGAUCUUCAAAACCUUCUUCACGAUCUUCUGCUCCUCGACCAAAAAGGCACGGAUGAUCCUGAGACAUGCAGGUGACUUAGUAUCACCAUUAAUCAUUUCAAUGGACGGGCAUGAGUUGCGAAAGAAUGGUCACCUCUCUCUCACUGCGGUACCAGACAGAACACCACCAUAUGGACGGUUCACAGUCCUGCGGUUCCUUGCCAACCUGGACCUCUUGUACUCAGCAGGUCUCAGGUGUGGAAUCUGCAAUUGAAGCAUAGGAAAUAUUUAUGAGCAGCAGUUAAAUAUUAUGUAAAUGACACAAACUUAUACUGCAGUGCAAACUUAAGACUGCCUAAUCUGAUUAGUCAGUGUAGUGGCUGCACCUACGUGUCUUGUAGGAAUAGCAUGCAGCAUACUGUUGUGCCUAUAAGGUGAAGAAUUCUUUGCAGAUUCAACGGCCGGUGUGCAAAGAGAAUUCAUCCAAAUAAAGUACGUAUUAACAAAUUACGUGUACAGUUGAUGCAGUGAAGUACUCAUACGGAAGCAAUCUCUAUGGACAUGUGUUAAUAAGGAAAGUAAUAGAACUUCUGAAUUAAAUAAAUUAACUUUUAAAAAAUAGAUAAGCAUAACAAAGUCAGUAUGUUCUAAAGAUAAGUGAUACACAAAAAAAUCCUCCAAGAUUACCAUGCAAAAUCAGGUGGUCCAUAGGUUGUCAGUUAGGAGCGAAAGACAAUUCAGUGUAAUCAUAGUCAUUACCAAAGUAAUCAUUUGAACUAUGCAACUGAUCAUCAUCCAACCCUCACCGCCUCAAGAGUUGUACCAGCAAAUAUAGCAUAUAAUAGAAGGUAGCAAAGGAGCAAACAGAUUGAUUGCCUUGAAAUGAAAAAUAAGAAAGCUAAAUAGACAAAACAAGGUGGAGGGAGUAUGCCAGUGCAAAGGGCCUCAUAGAGAAGAUUAGGCUUAAUCGACAUGAAAGUUCAGACAUAUGCUUGUCAUGUUUCUCAGUAAUCAUAGGCCCAGUAGUAUAUGCCAGAAACUGAAUCAUAAUAAAGAUGCAAGCCAGCCAUAACAAGAACUAAACACAAUGAGUACGAAUGCAAGUUAAAAGUAUCUUUUGGGGGAAAACUUCAGACUUCAAAAGUAAGACAAUGAGAAAAGAGACAACAUUGGAAGGCCUCAUAGAAGUUUAAGAUUAAUCAACAUGAAAACUCAGACAUGCUUGUCAAUUGUAACUGUAUAAUCAUUGUUCAACAAACUCAAAACAAAAAGGAAGAUCUAGAGAAAGGGCACUUGGUACAACCUAACACUCAAGAAAAACUUGCAAAACACAAUACAUUGUGCUGAAAUGUGUACACUGCCCUGGAAUGAAUAAUAGAGUACCAGUACCAAAGAUAGGUUGGCAUGAACAUCAAAACCAGCUACGGCAGCACAUGUUACAAUAACUCAAUAAGCUAAAAGGCCUAAGGGUCAAACAAAAAACAAAACAAACAUCAAACCUAUGGUUUAAAACUACUAUCAGAACAACACUCAGUUAAGACAAAGUAAAUAAACAACGCAACGGCACAAAUGUGAGGGAUACGCUACAGGUACAGUUUGCUAAAAGCCUAGAGCAAUCUUUUAGAUCUAAGGAUAAUAAAUUGUUCCAACUUCCAACCAAGAGCCCGAAACAUGAUUCAACAAGAAAAGGUGCAUUUUAAUCCCCAGUUUGCAAUCACACAUCAUAAGAAUAUGAGCCUUAAGCUACACAAAAUACAAAGCUGCGGUUCAAAUACAUGUUCCGUCAGGACCUCCUAGCCUAGGUUGACCACACUGCAUUCAAAUUGAAAAUCCUUGAAUAGAGCAUGACGCAGCGACCUAAACCCUAAAGCAAGAAUAAGUGGGUAAAAUAGAAAGGUGGAAGGCUCAUACUCCUUGGAUCUUCUUCCCGGUGACCGGGCAUUUCGGUCCGCUCGCGCGCUUCUUGGUGUACUGGUACACAAGCCUCCCACCUAAUCAACAACAUAAACAAAUCAGCGGGAAUCCUAUUUCCACAACCCGCACGAACAGAAACAACGAGCGAUCAAUCGACCAUGCGAGUGCGAAGCGCCGGUCUUACCAGGGGUCUUGACCACGCGGGUCUGAUUGGAUUUUGUGGCGUAGCUGUGGCGCUUCCGGUAGGUGAGCCGCUGCACCAUUUUGCCGCCGGCCGCUGUUUCUCCCGGGCUCUCGCUCUCCGCGCGCUCUUCCUCUCUAGCGUGGCGGCGGAGAAGGGAGUGAGGAGGAGAGAUGGAGGGGAGCUUUUAUAGGAUGGCUGAUAGGCCUAGUGACCUAGAUCUGACGUCGGGAGAUGAUUUGCCAAGCGAAUGGGCGGUUCGGUCUGUGACUUGGGAUUACCGGCUCCUUAGUGUAUGGAUGGUCUGAAUUUGGUUUCAAGAUUUAUCGAACUGAAGUCCAUUCUAGUGAUUAUAAAUUAGAUAUAAAUUAAUUAAGCUAAUAUAAUUAUGUAUAUUAUAUAUGUAUACUCUACUAUUGGUUUAUAGAGAAUAUAUUUUUGUGUUCUAACAAAAACGGCUUCACCGGGUUUAGUAGAGCUCAGGCUCGUUUAAAAUAGCUCUAGUUAUGUUUUUCGUUAAAAUCAUUUUUUGUUAACGGGACGUUUGGAUCCCUUCAUUUUAGAGGAAUUGGAAUUCACUCAAUAAAGUAACUUAUUUAGUUUGGAAUUUGACAUUCCACCACUUUCCAAAGUUCAGAUAUAAGUCUAUCUCAAAUUCAUGGGGUGGAUGGUGGGAAAUGAUUUUAUUUAUUAGUAGAAUUGGUUUCUAAUCUAUAACUUACAUGACACUCUUCGUCUCACUCCUCUAUAGUAAAAAUGUAGCACAUAAAUUUCUCCAACAUCUUGCUAAUAAUAGUAUACAAAUAUAUUUUGCAUAAAACCGAAUUAUCUUAAUUGAUAUAUCUGCCUAAAGUCAUUUCGUAAAUCGUUUGACAAAAACGACUUAUCAUGGAGCCAAAACCAUUUCCAAUAUAUUAAAGUGCUAGAGCAAAAGCCGAUGGAACUAAUAUUUGUGGCUUCUUCUCCAUAGUACAAAAACGGCUCUGACUUUUAGAUAUUUUUCGCAUGAAACCGUUUAAACAAAUGUUUGGUAUGGAUCUAGCUUUUUGCAGAGAAAAACCAUAGUCGAAGCCCUGCCAAACAGACUCUAAGUUGUAUAGUAGAAAUAUAACCGGCUAUAAAAUCAACUUUUACCUCAGUUUAUAAAUUUAAGAAAAUCUUAUACCUAAAUUUUGAAAUGUAAUUGAAUAUUCUAAGCCAACAAAAUAAAAAAAAUCCAAACGGCAUCUAACUUUCUCUAGUAUUCUUCUAUUAAAAUUCAUUUUGUAGUAUUUUUUUAAAUCUGCUUAUAUUUUACUACCUCCCGUUAUAAAAGUUGACUUUUAGAUUAUAGUUCUGUUUCUUUCUCUUUUAUCUUUAUUAUCUUGUAUUAGAUUUUACUUACUCUACUUUUUGUUAUAUCUCUCUCAUUCAUAUAGAGUAUAAUGCUUGUGGGUUACGAUAAUACUAAAUAUUCGAGGGGAGCCACCACAAUACAGCCUAAAAAUGCAUAUGAAUUCUAAAAUCCAAGAACAUGACAGGUUGGGGUAAAGAGGCGGCCAGCCUCUAAAUUUAUAGGACAUAAGAGCGUCUUUAAGAGACUAGCUAAAUAACUCGUCGAGCUAAAUUUUGACUACUAAACAACAAUAUAACUCUCCAACGGACUAAUCAUCAAACUCGUCAAGCUAUCCGACACUCUAAAUUGGCUCCCUUACUAGCUAAAAUUGGCAUGUCACCCUGUCUAGCCAAACUAGAUAGAUAGUAUGUUAGAGUGAGAUGGUACAUAUAGAGUAUAAUAUUUAUGGAAAGAUAAAUAUAGAGUCAAAUAGAAAACAAAAAAUAAAGAGUCAUUUAAAGAUGCUAUAAGCCUAGAUAUAUGUAUAUAGUAGUCAGACUAUUAGUAUAUAGUCUAAUAAUUUGGUAGUAAAGUGUCGAAUAGUUGGGGAACUAUGAUGUAUUCGUAGCUCGAUCUUGUUUAAAUAUGUUAGAGAGAAAUUGAAAAAUAAUACAGUAAUAUGUACCUUUUAUUUACUUUUAUUUACUUGUUGUUUGAUAUAACUAUUUUAAGAUAUAUAUUAAGUGUUUAUAUAGUUAUAUAUAAAGAUAAUUAGAAAGGCCUCUAUUUUAAACCUCGUCCUAGGUCGCUAAAAUCUCAGGACUCGCUGAACAUGAUGUGGUUAAACAAGUCUUGGCAUCAAGAUUCAGAGCUUACAUCUUGGUAUAUUACGAGUAUCCAAUGGACUUCUAAAUUUAAUAUAAGGGUACAAACCACACCGAAGAAUCAAACAUGAACCGUACAAAUAUGUAAAUACGUCAAAAUGUCAGGCACAACUAUGCCUCUCGUAUUACUAUUGUAUCGUCGCGACACCCAUCGACUUCCCCCUCCCACAGCCGAACACCUCGUUCCGACACCCAUGGGACUUCCACGCGCAGUCUCCCCAGUCGCGUCAUGGCCAUUCCAUUGCCAUUUCUCCUCGCUUGUCACCGUCGCAGCGAUGCUCGAUUUGACACAUCUCUGUUCCCAAGCCCAUCUCGCUCCUUUCAGAUAUUUGUAUAUAUAUGUAGCAGCAGUCAAAAGUUUUAAGGUGUAUUUGGUUUCCCUGACUACAAUUUAAUUUGUGUCACAUCAAACGUUUGGAUAUUGGGUAUAAGUAGAGCCUAGAAAACAUUAGCCUAACGGGAAGUAUCAAUCCCAAUCUCCAUCCCCCAUCCCCCACUACACAAGCGGCCAUGCAUCGACGAGAGGUGGCGCGACAAACAAAUAUCGCCUUGGCAUGUUGUUGGCGUAUGUCGCGUGACGUGACCGGUGUGGAAGACUUGUGGAACGAUCAAUACCUAGGGGGUGUUUGGUUUGAAGAAUCAAUCCAUUCUAGAUGAGGUGGUGUAUCAUUAGUUAAUUCCAUAAAUUUAGUGGAAUGAACUCAUUCGUCUUAUUAUUACUAAUUAUUAGUACAUGAGGAAUGAAAUGGUAAUGGACCAUCUCAUUCUAUUUCACAAACCAAAUAAGAAAGUGAGUAGUGAGAAGAUGAUGGAUCAUCUCAUUCCUCAAACCAAACACACUAUCAGUUCAUCUCCCUGCCCACCUGCACGCACAUGUCGCCCCCGUGGCCUCCUUCGCCGCUGGACGGGCCCGUACGAAACGUGCUUCUCAUCGGAGGACAUGAGGGAUGGCUUUUAAGGGCAUGCACAACCCACAUAAUAACUCAUAUCUUAUGUGGUAUCUAAGGGGCACCUGUAAAAAACGUAACAGACGUAUCUUCGCGAAGAAACGUCUCUGGCAUGCUUCUCUAAGUUUAUAUAUGGUUAAACAUAUACAACCAAUAUAAAUGAGUCAUAUCUUGAUGAUUCUGGUGAAUAAGAUACAUGUACUAGAUAUAUUGGGUUGUAUGAACAAAUUUCUAAGAUGUAUCUAGUGUCUAGAGAACCACAACAUAGUAUCUAUGUUGUACAUGCCCAAAAGCAGAGGCAGUGCUAUCUUAUCUAGUCUAUUUUUGUUGUCCUUAUCCAAUUAUAUGCAUGGAAAGUUAUCUGGUUGUUAGGCAAAGUGUGGAGGGUGAGAAAUAGACCUAAGCGUUUCGCGUGGUGUUGGUGUUUCGAACCUUGUCUGACAAGUAAGUUUAUUGUGUGCGUUCUGGUCUUCGGAGGGUAUGAGCGAUGUGCGCAAGAUUUAUAUUGGUUCGGGGAGAACAUCUCUACAUCCAGUCAUCGGCAGCUCGCGCUACAUGCAUCAUUGAUGAUCAAAGCUCGUAGUAAGGGUUACAAGCAAGCGAGAGAGGGAUGAGAGGCUUCCAAGUCUCUUGUUGGUGGUGGAGUUGGUUAUAAAGUGUAGCCCUAGCUAAGUCUUGGUUUUGUCCGACGGGGCUCUGUUGAUCUUUGGGCGUCGUCUUAUCUCGAGGUCCGUCCUUCUGGGCGUGUGUUCGAAGAAGCCACCCUCUCGUGUUCGGCUCGGCUCGUGGUGGCUUCCACAUUGUCGUAAAGAAAACACCAAUCCCUGAGAGGAGGGUGAAGAGGCCUGGUAGCUAGGUGAUAUGGCUCUCAAUCUCUGGGCUAGCUGUCUCUCUCCAAACUUGAAGGUCUAGAAGCCAGUGUUGUCUCAGAGUAAUACGGGCUGUCCUCUGAGCAACGUAGAAGGACUCAUGAGUUAGAGUGCUGAACUAAUAAGGGUCGGCUAUGGUGUCUCUCUGCUUAGGAAACCACUCUCCUAUAGGCACAUGCUUGAAACGACAAACUCUUGCAGCUGUAGCUCCGUGGAGGUCAUAGAGACGAGGGUCUCCCUGAAGUGGCUAAACAUGCUCAAGAACCACAGCCAUGCUCUUGUUGGGCUAUGGUGGAUGAGGUGGAUCCUCGCCAUCUCCACCAACUGACGGUCUGACGGACCCAAGUUCUCUGUUUUUGCCAUCUGAACUGAGUUGAGAUGAGUUCUGUUCUAGAACAACUGACUGCUGAUAGCUUACCACAGGGUCACAACCGGUGUUGCAUUGCAUUAGCCUCGAACACAACAGGGUCACAGAGAUUAGAGAAUGGCUUUGUUUUUUUGUUUCUCCCUCCAACGUCCAACCUGCAGAAUGUCGAUGCAGCCAUGGUACCUGUGUGGCUCUGUUUCUAGCAAACGAGUGCCUAUAACUUUCAAAAUUUUCUAAACAAUGUAAUAAAGAAAAAUUGAACUGAACAAAGAUGCACGCCAACGUUUCUUGAGCCAACAGUUCCCUGGUGCUCCACUUCAAAUUUCCCCCUAACCAUCUUCGCACUGUUUUAACGUACAAAAGAAAGCCAAAUUCUAAAUUAAGCUGUUACAACUGUUCGAACUGCUGCGGCUACAAUCUAUAGAGACAAAAUAUUGUAAAAGUCGUAGCCGAAUAUUGUAAAAGUCGUAGCCGAAUUAAAGCUGCAGCAAGUCACAGCAAUAUUGUACGAACCCCGACGGGCUGCGAGGUAAAAACCCCGACGGCCGACGCCAUUAGCGGUCGAGGCUACUACGAACGAGGCCCCGCAAGACAGGCCCCGCUGUCUUGCGCACUGACGCCCUUGACAGGGCCGUUCGUCCUCCCUUCGAUCUACCCUGAUCUAACAACAAUCACAUACAAUUACGUAACUGGCAAUGCAGCCAGUGCAAGCCCGAGUUUAUUGCCCAACAAACAUAUUUACAAGGUGCCUAAAAUGUGCCUGUAUUUGGGCUCUAGAGCUUUUGAGGUGUUUUCACCCCUAUCUAGUAAGUAAAAUCUGAAAACUAAUCCAAGCACACACCUCUAUCUUCUAUUGUCUCUAUACCAACACACACACGCAAAAUCAUCUGAACUGGCAUUUGAGCAAGUCACUCAGCAGCCAAAUCUGUUUCCCUCCUGAGUCUUCAGACUGGUAGCCAUCAUGAAAGACAGUGGAAGCAGCAACCGGCCACUAUCUUAGAUAGGCAUUCAGCGCAACCAGCUUUGGAUUUACACUUCAUCCGAGUAAUAAGUACCUUGCGCAUCAGCAACGUCCUUGCUCGCACUGGUAGGUGUUUUCCCUUGCAGCUCGGCGCACACAAGCUUGGUCAAGAGGAGCCCGGCAAGGAGAGCCGCCGCCAUCAGCAUGGUGAACACAGCGCUCCAGCUCUUGGACGAGAUGUACCCUGUCAGCAGCGGUCCAAUGGCAGCUCCAAUAGACCCCGUCCCGUCGAUUAUGGCCGUCACGGUGGCCAGCGCCCGGGAGUUGCCGUUCAAGGAGCUGUGGGUGCCGAGGUCGGCCGACACCGCAGUCGUGAUCAGGGCGUACGGCCCGUUCACGAACAUUCCGGUGACGAACAUGAGGCAGACGUUCCACGCCAUCGACGUGCUCCCGUACGCGCGGUACAGGAAGAGGGCGGGUAUCGCGCAGUACAUGAAGCUGGCAGCUGUGAUCGCCCGCGCGUUUAGACGGUCGGAGAUGUGGCCGGCGAGGACUCCUCCCAACACGCCACCGACGUCGAAGAUCGUCGAUAAGCUGCCGGCCAUUGCAUCGGAGAGGUACACGCCACCGAUGCCUGAAACAAGGUGAAGCAGGGCUGUUAGAAAGCACAUUCCUCCAAUUUGUAGAGACAUAUUUGAAGGUCGAAUAUGGAUGGAGACUUACGUGUAUGGCUGAUGUAGAAGGGUAGCCAGUACAGGAAGGUAUAUGCAACCAAUUUAGAGAAGAAGAGGCAAAGAGCGAAUGGCGCAACUCCAGGAAUCCUCCAUGCCUCCAAGAACCCCACUGCCUUAUGCUUAACUUGUUGGCCUGGUUCCAAAAGGGGCUCCUUCACAGUGCCAGUGUCCUUCUCACAGUUCAAUUCACCACUGCCAGCAAUGUCUAUCUCCAUCACCUCAGGGCUAACCGGCAAGGAAACAUACACCACCAACCCAACAAGAGCCAUGACAAGGCUAGGGACGGCGAACGACCAGCCCCACCCGAACUCGAGGAGGAAGGCGGCAAGCAGCGAGCCAGCUAUGUUCCCGAUAGAAGUGUGCGCGUUCCAUACGCCCAUGAUCAGCCCCCUCUUGCUCUUCCCGAACCAGUUACCGACAACCGCGACAACCGACGGCCACCCAACCGACUGAAACAGGCCGGAAACCAUCUGAACGACCAGGAAAUAGUAGAAGCUGUGGACGUUCAGCCAGUAUCCAGCGCCGAAGAGAGCCGUGAACACGGCAGUCCCGACCAUGCCGAUCGUCAGAAAGAUCCUUAGAUCUAUGCGGUCCCCGAUGUGUCCGGCGAAGAACAUCCCGAUGGAAUACGCAGCGAGGAACGCGACGUCUAUCUCGCCGAGCAACGCUGAGCCGUCAGCGGUGUUGAACGGCAGCCAGCCAGUGUUAAGAGCCGGAGCCUCGCUCGUGUGCAGGUGCAGCCGUCCCCAGUGGGAGAACCCCAUCUUCGUCUGGGGGUCCAGCGCGCUCUUGACGAUGCUCGUGAUCUUCCGAGUCAUGUGGAAGCAUGCGUAUGCGAAGAAUGUGAGGACCAGGACUAGCGUCUGGUAGGUUCUCAGCGAACCGGCACCUCCGAAUAGCCUAAGGCCAGGAGGUUUCUUGCUCGCCAUCUGUUGAGACUGAGCCAUGAGGACACAAGUUUCGCUGAGAAAGGUCACCGCCGUGCAGCUAGCGCCGGCUGCAGGGACGCUUCUGGAACCAGCAACGAUUACCUACCACCUGAAAGAAAGCAACCAAGGGAGAUGUGAUCAGGAUAACAAGCCCGGCGCAAGGAGACACAAGAUGAUAUGGUUGCUACUCUUAAUUCGUAAUAACAGUAUGCAACCAACAAUCAUGCUCUAGAAGGUUGGAAAACAGUGAUCUCAAUCUCAAUGCCGCCUCGUGCAGCCGUUUCAUUUACAUUACACCACAAAGAUGCACCGAAAUGAUCCAAAGCAUCUCAGCAUAUUUCGGGAGACAAAUUGAUCUGCUUAUUUAUUAUUAGCCAAAUUCAAUGGUGACAGGUGCAACUGUGCAAGACAUUUGUUGAUCUUGUUCAUUAGCAACCCUGACCCUGGAUCAGAGACAAUACAGCGAUCAAAUUUGCAUGUCCCUAAACGCCCCACGGAUCAAAAUUUCAUCGAAUUCAUGCUCAUAACUCCUAAUAUUAGC